UGAAAAGACGAAAAUGCCCUUAAACGGGAGUAAGGGGCGAAAAUUUAACAAUUGGGAUUGAGUUGGACACGUGGGAUCCCCACAUCCCUCAAAACCUUCCCCAAUUCCCGUACCUUGUCACUCUCUCUCUCCUCCCUCACGAAACUCUCAGUUUUCUCUCCCUCUCCUUCGAACUCACACGGACAAGCUCCAAAACCACCCUAAACUUCUACCAACGACAGAGUUAAGACCACCAUCAAACUCCUGGAACCUCCACGAUGGUAUCCAUUUCAGGUAAGUUUUGCUUCGGAAAACCCUAGUUUCAAAGUUCCCGUGAAAUGGUACUGUUCAUGAUCUUCUAAAUGACUACGUUUUAGGCUAAAACAAGAUCACAGCGAGCUUAGUGAGGUCCCAAGGAAGCUCGGAGUGCUUCGUUGGAAGUUUUUGGACGUAAGAACACGGAGAUCGACAAGUUCAAAGUUUGGCCGGAGCUUUCGAGGCUUUUUCCGGCGAAUCCCCGGCGAGUUAGGAGUCAAGGUAGGUAUCAAUCUCUUCGUCUCGUCAAGUACUACAACUUUCCUUUUUGUUUCACUCAAUUUCGUUGAGUAUUGAAGAAGUUAUACUCAUUUGAAAAAUACCCAGUUUCCGACGACCUCCGAGGCUUUCGAGGCAGUUUCCGGCCAAACCACGGCGAACUAGGUGUUGUACAAGGUACCAUUAUCUUUGUCUCUUCAAGGGCUACAACUUUCAUUUUUGAAUCACUUGAUUUCGUUGAGAAAUGACAAAGUUAUGGCAAUUUGAAAAACGGCCGCCGGAAAAACCAGUCCGGCGACCCAAGGAAGAAGAAGGUGCGCGUGGGGGCGCGUGCUACAGUAACAAAAUAUUUUAAAAAUAUGUCGACGUCCGUGACGGAGUAGAUCUCUGUGGUAUAUUCAUAUACCCAAUUUGAGCACCGUAUGAGAAAGUUAUUAAGGAUUGUUGGUUAGGUGUUCGAAUAACGUUUUAUAGUUUUGGUGAAAAUGUGAAUUGAUGAUCCGACCGUUGGAUCGUCACCAAAAUUUGAUACGUUGUAAUACGUAAUAUUUGAGGAUUAUAGGAACUUACAGAUUGGGAAUCCGAUUUGCGGAUCUUCCGAAAUUGGAGUUGUAAGUCCAUAAUAUAGAAUGUUAACUGUCACUUAGUUUUGGAAAUUGACGGAGAUCCAACCGUUGGAUGGUAAUGAAAUUUUAGGAUGUUAUCCUAGAGAUAUAUUGUGGACCUCUGGAAGUUAUGGAUUUAAAAUCUGAGUGGCAGAUCUUCCGGAUCGAACUACGUAGUGACGUAUUUUAUAUAAGUUAUAUAUUCUAUCGAUAUGAAUUCUGAGGUUGGAUUUGAUUACUAUUCUAGGCGGCGAUCGUCGUGACGCCUUGAUGUGUGGUGCUAGGGAGUUGUUGGACGAACUCCAGGUGAGUGGGCAGUUUUGUUUUCCGUAUACAUAUAUACUUGCCGUUUUCCCAGAAAUUGAAAAUGCAUGAAAUUAUGCUUUUAAUGAAAAUGUAUAAAAGUAUAUGAGAUAUAUUAGUUGAAAUGCCAUGCAUGAAAGUAUAUGAAAAGUAGAUAGAAAUGUGAAUCGAAUUGCCAUGCAUGAAAUGAUAUGGAAAGUAUGAAUUGAUAUAUGAUGCAUAUGUAUGAAUUGGUGCGGCGGACGCACAGGUGAGUAUCAGGUGAGUAUUUAAAUAUUGUUAUGAUGAUGUUGAUAUAUAUUGAGCUAAAUCCUGCACCAUGGUUUAGUGCUUAUAGUAUUCACCGCAUCGCACGCUCGCCUUGGAUCCAAGUAGAUGCUGGUCGCACAGUCCACGCGGAGUGGGUGCGACGGGCCAGUCGAAGAGUGUUAGUGAGAUUUCGACUGGUGGGUGACCUUAGAUUAUGUGCACAGAUGAUUGAUGAGAAAGCACUAGAGCGUAACUUGUGUGCAGAAGGCCGGACGGGUCACAGAGGUGACUCCGGUAGAGUGAUAGUGAUAGAUUUUGAGCUCUAGGUUCAACCGUACAGGGCUAUUAGAGGGCCUCCGGUUGAUUACUUUCUUGCACCUGAUAUGAUUAUUGUUGAUGCAUCCAUACUUAACUGUUGAAUUAGACAUGGCAUGGCAUGAUUGAUAAAGAAAAAAUGUUGAGUUAAUGAAUCGAAGUAUUGAGAAUAUAUAUGUAUAUUUAUAUUUUACAUUUCUGGGAAAGUAUACAGGUUUUACGGAGAGAGGUUACAACGUUUUGAGAAAUGUUUGGAUUUGGAAAGAAUUGUUUUACUGACCCACUCAAUUUUGGUUUUGCGCCCCUCCAGGUUAAAGAAUAGCUGAGGUGUGGUGGCUACGAGGAAUUCAACGGGGUUCUGACAGAAUGGAUCAAAUUAGGACUCACCUUCGGGUGUAUCAACUUAUAAAUUGUAUAAUUAAAGCUUCCGUACUGUGCAAAUGGUUACGUCACUCUCACGUGACGGCCAGCAUGCCCUCCUUCGGGACGGGGUGUGUCAGUUGGUAUCAGAGCAUGGUUGCAAUCUUGGACAUCUUGAGAAGUUCUAGUGAAUUCUGUCAGAACUACACCGCCUCGUAGCAAGCCACUUAGUUAGAGGAAUUUAGUCUCCCUAAUAUAGCGGUUUAGGGAAAACUAUUAUUAUGGUGAUUCAGUCUAUUAUAAAAAGGGACAUUUUAAGACGGGUUAUGAGUUGAAUUUGAAUCACCUUAUGAAAUGAUGAACCUGAGGGAGCGAAGUAACGGUUUAACCAUUUGGAAAAGAUGUUUCAGAUUAUGCAAGUCAAAGGAAUCUUCCUUCUGACAGGGGGUCGAGACGAUUACCUGGUUUUGGGUAUGAAUUUGUAUCCUGGUGGAAACAGGAGUAUGAUUUGUUGUCACCGGAGGAACAGCCGAUUUAAAAUUGUUUAAGGACUUGUUUAAGGAAAAGUUUAUCCCUCCGGCAUUUAUCGAUGAUAGUAAGCAAGAGUUUGCAAAUGUGAAUCAAGGAAGUUGACGAUAAAUGGAUAUUAUAGAAAGUUUUCAGACUUGCCUCGUUCCAUCCAGAUAUUGUUGUUAAUUUGGUAGAGGUGUUAUGUUGUUUUAAGCUGGGUGGCAAAAGGGAAGUGGUAUUUUGGGUGACCAUUAUCCAUUGUAGUUCUUAUCAGGAGUAUGCGAGAUGCUGUUGAGCCUUGAGGACUCUAAGAACAUGAGCAACGAGAAUAAAGAAGAAUAAGAAAUGAAUGGGAAUCAAAAGAAGACGAUAAAGUUUAUGAUUCGUCAUAUCAAGGAUAUAGAAAGAUUCAGAGCUUCGAAAGAAGUGAAGCUAGAGUUAAUUCUUCCAGCUGAGGUUUUAAUGUCGCUGGUCAGAAUAAAAGUGAUGGAUAUACUGGUAAUCCCAGAUAUUUGAGACAAGGUGUCUCGAGUAAAGGAAAUGUACCUUGUGCAGCAGGUACAAAAAAUUAACACUUUGGGAAGUGUGAAAUUAAUGAAUGUGUUUAUGUGAACAGAGGGGACACAGAAUUGUGAAUCGUCCCUAGAAUCAGUUGUACUCAACAAUUUUCCAUGAUAUCAUAGUGUCGAUUCAGCAGAGUUAUGGACUUAGUAGUUUGGUCGGAUUGACCGUGAGUACAGAGAGAUUUGAUGAGUUAUAUGUUCAGCCGUACAGACCAUGAGAAGUGGAUUCGAUUGACACAUGAGAAAUUUGUGAGUUAUAGGCUCAGCCGUACCGACCACGCGGAGUGGAUCCGGCCGACGUAUUAUUGAGAUAAGAGUUGAAUCAACCGUAUUGGUCAUUCUAGUUGACUUCGGCUGAUAUAUUUCUUAUUAUGUAUGAUAUUACCUAGAGAGUGGUAAAUAAAUGUAGUUGAGACGAGUGUAUGUAUUUUGCAUUGAGUGACAAAAUAGUAAUGUUAUAUCUUUUUUAGUGGUUGCCUACUUAUCGAGACAACGAUGAUUUAUCAGUAUUGCGGGCUGCAGACCGUAAUAUUAAUAACUCAUUCGUGGAUUCGUUAAGCAAGCAAACCGGUAGGUUAUUUUAUGUUAGUGUUGUACUUAUUUAGAAUGUUCAGUAUUAAUAAAGUAUGUAUUGUGUCGGUUAAAUUAUUUCCAUUAGAUUGGUUGGUUAUAAUUGUGACUAAAUGGACUGUUAUGGGAAACCAGUCACUUUCCAUCGAUCUGGAUGACCAGAGAUUACUUUUGUAAGUAUGCAAAGUGGAUUGAGUCAGGCCGUUAUUUAUGCUGUGAGAGCAAAGAGAUUGUUUUCGAAAGGCUGUCAAAAAAAUACUUAGCUCAUGUGGUGCUAAAUGAUGUUGUUUGGAGUAGUGUGAAUAAUGUCGAAAGAGUUAGACUUUUCUUGAUGUCUUCCCUGAAAGUAUACCUGGAUUGUCUUCAAGCAGAGAUAUGAGGUUCAUUAUUGAUUUGUUGCCAGGUAUAAAUUUAUAUUGGAGAUCAGUUCAUGAUGAGUUAAGAAAAUUGGAAAUUUAGUUGAAAGAAUUGGUUGACAAAAGUUUCAUUCAACCUAGUACAACACUUUUGAGGAGCCCCAGUUUGUUGGUGAGGAAGAAAAUGGAUCUUGAGACUGUUCAUUGAUUAUAGACAAUGGAGUCGGGUAACGAUUGAGAACCGUUAUCCAUGGUGAUGUAUUGAUGUUUAUUUAACCAGCUCAGAAGUAAUGGCGAAGAUUCAAAGAUUGAAUUGAGAUCUGGUUACUACCAAUUGAAUAUUAUAAGUGACGUUGAUCAUAAGAUGGUUUUCUGGACUCGUUAUAGUCUUUAUGAAGUUUGGUGAUGCUAUAUGGAUACUCAUGCUGUUUUAUGAGUUGAUGGAUGAAGUAUUCCAAUAAUGCCUUGAUAAAUUGAUAUCAUUUUCAUUGAAGAUAUUCUGGCAUAUUCUGAGCCAGAGCAGAGCAUGUAAACGUAUUAAGUCGGUGAAACAAAGAUUGGAAGAAUGUCGAUUGUAUGCUAAGUUUAGCAAAUGCUAAAGUUAGAUGAAUCAGGUGGCAUUCUGAGAUUUGUUAUAUAUUCUUAAGGUAUUCAAGUGAAUCCUUAAAAGAUAGCAGAAAUUGAGGAAUUGGAACAACCACGAACUGUAAUUGAGAUUCAGAAUUUCUUAGCUUACCAGGCUAUCUUGGAUGGUUGUGAAAGAUUUUUCAGUCAUUGCUUUGUCAUUGACGAGACUGUUGAGAAAAGAGGUUAUGUAUGAGUGGGAAGGAAAUUGUGAGCAAAUGAUUCAACAACUGAAGUAUUUCCUCACUCAUGCACGUAUUUUAGUAAUCCCAGAGAAUAGUGGUAAUCAUAAAUUUUUAGUGCUGUUUCUUGAAUGGUAUUGGAUGCAUGUUGAUGCAAAUGUUAGGGUGAUUGCAUACGUUUCACGACAAAUGGAAUCUCAUGAGAUGAAUUACCCUACUGGUGAUUUGGAAGUCACGAUUACCAUCCUUGCUGUGAAGUUAUGGAGACAUUAUAUUUUAGUGAGAAUGCAAGAUUUUUUUUACGAAUCCAAAAAGUCUUCAAUAUCCAUUACUUGGAAGGAUUUUGAUAUGAGGCAGCGAAAGUGAAUUGUAUUGCUUAAUGAACAUGAUUGAACGAUCAGAGUGAUCAUAAAGUUUGUUCUAGCUGAAGCAUUUGGUGAGAAGACUACAGUAAGAUUAAUGUCUGGCACGUUUGCCAAGAGUAUCAUCUUGUGGAUUGAAACCAACGGAAGAAAAAUUAAGAAUGGAAGAUCGAGAAGAAGUUAUACUUGUUAAAUUUCAAGUUAGGCCUUUUGGUAAGGUCGUACUCGAGACUCAAAUGGUAUGUGAAUACAAGCAAACGAAAAGUAUGUGCCUAAUGCUGUGGGUUUAAAGCAAACAAUUUUGGACGAAGUACACUGUUCAGCUUCUGCAAUAUUCCGAAGGUAAUAAGGUUUAUCAUACCAUUCGACAUUUUUAUUGGUCAGCAGAUUGAGGCAGAAAGAAAUAAACCUUUGGAUUGAGACAGCUAUUUUCUGUUUCGAAACGGAAAUGGAAAGAGAAUUGGAUUACGGAACUGCUGAGUUUCUUAAGUAUGUUGGGUGUGCAGUUUCCGAAAUAACGCCAUAGGGUCCCUGAAGCGUGUCGUGUGAAUGAAAUGCUUCUGAAUAGAGAAAGAUUCGAUCAAGAAAGAGUUUUAGUAGACCCUGAGACUAUGGAUGAGUCUCCUCAAAGUAUUCAGGUGAUUAAGUUUAACCUGAAGGUAGCCAGGAAUGGCAAAAGAGACUAACAGAUGGAUAUGCCAUUAAUCGAGUGUGUAAGGUAAAUGGUUUGAUAUUUUUGGAAAUUUCACCAUGAACAUAAAUAGUAAGAUUCAGAAAGGGAGACAAGAUAAGUCUUGAACACAUCAGUCCGUUUUGAUCAUUAAAGGAAUCGACGAAGUUGCAUACAAGUUUGUGAUGCCUUCAGAAUUGGCUAAGGCACAUAAUGUAUUUUGUGUUCGAUGCGUUGUCACUAAGUGGCAGAGUCGUUACAUGGGACUUUGGUGCAACUAUUGAGAAUUAAGCCGGAUCUGAUUGGUGAGGAACCAAUGACGACUUUGGAUUGGAAAAAGAAGGUCCUGAGAAUUAAGACAGAGUAAGUAGUAAAAGCUUUGUGAAGGAAUCAUUCAGUAGAAAAUUAUGUGGGAGAAAGAGAAUCGGAUGAGACAGAUUUACCCGUAGCUAUUGUUGGAGUAUGGUUGAUUUAGUUGGUUGCUGGAAUUUCGGGGACGAAAUUCUAUAAGGAGGGAAGAUUGUCACAGCCCGUCCCGGAAUUUUAAUUCUGAGAACGUGAAAAGACGAAAAUGCCCUUAAACGGGAGUAAGGGGCGAAAAUUUAACAAUUGGGAUUGAGUUGGACACGUGGGAUCCCCACAUCCCUCAAAACCUUCCCCAAUUCCCGUACCUUGUCACUCUUUCUCUCCUCCCUCACGAAACUCUCAGUUUUCUCUCCCUCUCCUUCGAACUCACACGGACAAGCUCCAAAACCACCCUAAACUUCUACCAACGACAGAGUUAAGACCACCAUCAAACUCCUGGAACCUCCACGAUCACGAUGGUAUCCAUUUCAGGUAAGUUUUGCUUCGGAAAACCCUAGUUUCAAAGUUCCCGUGAAAUGGUACCGUUCAUGAUCUUCUAAAUGACUACGUUUUAGGCUAAAACAAGAUCACAGCGAGCUUAGUGAGGUCCCAAGGAAGCUCGGAGUGCUUCGUUGGAAGUUUUUGGACGUAAGAACACGGAGAUCGACAAGUUCAAAGUUUGGCCGGAGCUUUCGAGGCUUUUUCCGGCGAAUCCCCGGCGAGUUAGGAGUCGAGGUAGGUAUCAAUUUCUUCGUCUCGUCAAGUACUACAACUUUCCUUUUUGUUUCACUCAAUUUCGUUGAGUAUUGAAGAAGUUAUACUCAUUUGAAAAAUACCCAGUUUCCGGCGACCUCCGAGGCUUUCGAGGCAGUUUCCGGCCAAACCACGGCGAACUAGGUGUUGUGCAAGGUACCAUUUGAAGAAGUUAUACUUUUCAAGGGCUACAACUUUCGUUUUUGAAUCACUUGAUUUCGUUGAGAAAUGACAAAGUUAUGGCAAUUUGAAAAACGGCCGCCGGAAAAACCAGUCCGGCGACCCAAGGAAGAAGAAGGUGCGCGUGGGGGCGCGUAGGUCCGUGCCUUCCUUGGCGCAUGGGGGCGCGUGCUACAGUAAAAAAAUAUUUUAAAAAUAUGUCGACGUCCGUGACGUCGAGUAGACCUCUGUGGUAUAUUCAUAUACCCAAUUUGAGCACCGUAUGAGAAAGUUAUUAAGGAUUGUUGGUUAGGUGUUCGAAUAACGUUUUAUAGUUUUGGUGAAAAUGUGAAUUGAUGAUCCGACCGUUGGAUCGUCACCAAAAUUUGAUACGUUGUAAUACGUAAUAUUUGAGGAUUAUAGGAACUUACAGAUUGGGAAUCCGAUUUGCGGAUCUUCCGAAAUUGGAGUUGUAAGUCCAUAAUAUAGAAUGUUAACUGUCACUUAGUUUUGGAAAUUGACGGAGAUCCAACCGUUGGAUGGUAAUGAAAUUUUAGGAUGUUAUCCUAGAGAUAUAUUGUGGACCUCUGGAAGUUAUGGAUUUAAAAUCUGAGUGGCAGAUCUUCCGGAUCGAACUACGUAGUGACGUAUUUUAUAUAAGUUAUAUAUUCUAUCGAUAUGAAUUCUGAGGUUGGAUUUGAUUACUAUUCUAGGCGGCGAUCGUCGUGACGCCUUGAUGUGUGGUGCUAGGGAGUUGUUGGACGAACUCCAGGUGAGUGGGCAGUUUUGUUUUCCGUAUACAUAUAUACUUGCCGUUUUCCCAGAAAUUGAAAAUGCAUGAAAUUAUGCUUUUAAUGAAAAUGUAUAAAAGUAUAUGAGAUAUAUUAGUUGAAAUGCCAUGCAUGAAAGUAUAUGAAAAGUAGAUAGAAAUGUGAAUCGAAUUGCCAUGCAUGAAAUGAUAUGGAAAGUAUGAAUUGAUAUAUGAUGCAUAUGUAUGAAUUGGUGCGGCGGACGCACAGGUGAGUAUCAGGUGAGUAUUUAAAUAUUGUUAUGAUGAUGUUGAUAUAUAUUGAGCUCAAAUCCUGCACCAUGGUUAGUGCUUAUAGUAUUCACCGCAUCGCACGCUCGCCUUGGAUCCAAGUAGAUGCUGGUCGCACAGUCCACGCGGAGUGGGUGCGACGGGCCAGUCGAAGAGUGUUAGUGAGAUUUCGACUGGUGGGUGACCUUAGAUUAUGUGCACAGAUGAUUGAUGAGAAAGCACUAGAGCGUAACUUGUGUGCAGAAGGCCGGACGGGUCACAGAGGUGACUCCGGUAGAGUGAUAGUGAUAGAUUUUGAGCUCUAGGUUCAACCGUACAGGGCUAUUAGAGGGCCUCCGGUUGAUUACUUUCUUGCACCUGAUAUGAUUAUUGUUGAUGCAUCCAUACUUAACUGUUGAAUUAGACAUGGCAUGGCAUGAUUGAUAAAGAAAAAAUGUUAAGUUAAUGAAUCGAAGUAUUGAGAAUAUAUAUGUAUAUUUAUAUUUUACAUUUCUGGGAAAGUAUACAGGUUUUACGGAGAGGGGUUACAACGUUUUGAGAAAUGUUUGGAUUUGGAAAAGAAUUGUUUUACUGACCCACUCAAUUUUGGUUUUGCGCCCCUCCAGGUUAAAGAAUAGCUGAGGUGUGGUGGCUACGAGGAAUUCAACGGGGUUCUGACAGAAUGGAUCAAAUUAGGACUCACCUUCGGGUGUAUCAAUUUAUAAAUUGUAUAAUUAAAGCUUCCGUACUGUGCAAAUGGUUACGUCACUCUCACGUGACGGCCAGCAUGCCCUCCUUCGGGACGGGGUGUGUCAUUUUAGGUGUUUGGUGAACUAAAAAAAAAAAGCUUAUUUUGGAAGCUGUUGUGAGAAUAAGCUGAAAUCAAAGGAAAAGCUGAAAUUGCUAUUUGCAGCUUUGGAAAACUGGCUUUUUUUUAAAGCACACGGAGCUACAAUGCUCCUUUAAUGAAAAGACUCACUAUCAGACUGUUUUUUUUUCAAAAGCACUUUUACAAAAAAAUUUACCAAACACUCUGUUGAUUUAUUUUACAGCCGUUUAUUCUCACAGCAGUUUUUUUUCAAAGCAUAACAAUACCAAACUAGCCCUUAAUUUUUUAAUUCAAUGGAAUAUUGGGAUUGAAUUAUUUACAAAUAAUUAACAUUAUAUAUUGUUUAGAGAAUGGUUAUUUAGCAAUUAAGCAUGAUUUUAUUUGAUUUUGCAUGAUGCGGGCUUUGAGUUUUAGCAACGUGUUUCACGGGCUUUGAGCUUUAAAGAAAACCUCAGUUAGUUCACUAUCUUGAGGACUCUCCCAGACUCAGACUGAAUCUUCUCUCCUCAAUCCUCCCUCUCGUAUCUCGAUCUCUCUCUUCCAGAGUCCAGGCUGACUCUCAUCCCUUUCGAUUCUUGGUUUUUCUGUCGAACUCGAAGGGACGAACGACAAAGUCAAUCUCUCUCUCUGUUGAACUUGAGGGGACGAACGAUGAAGUCGAACAACUUGAAACGAUGAAUCAGUCAUGUCCUCCAUCUGACUCAGACUCAUAUUUGCAGGGAAUCCGAGCUCUGUUGACGGUCAUUUUCAGUUUCGAGGUAUUAUGUUUUAGGGAUUUUGUUGGUUUCUUGAAUCUUGACCUCUGUUCUGUUUCAAUUUCAGAUCUUUUGUUGAAUUGAAUUUGAAUCUUCUGUUGGGUAUUAUUGAGAUUAUAUUUGGUUGAUUAGUGGAAUGUGUUGGUAUAUGGUCCAGCCCAUGAUGAAUGUUCUAGAUUAUUCUAGUAAGCAAGUGAGGUGGCUGGAGCAUGCUAGACAAUUCUAGCAUGUUAUUAAGUUGAUGGAAGAAGUUAGAGAGUACUAGCUUCCUUAGUUGCAAAUGGAAAGAUCUAGAAGCUACAAUUUUGUUGCUAGUCUAUAAUUAUCUAUGCUAGAGGAUUGAAGAAUACAAUAGAAACUAGUAGAAUGCCAAACCCUCACCUAUAAAUAUGGGUGUGAUGUUGUAGUGAAGUAACCAAUUAAGAACCAAGUGUGAGUAGCAAAGGAUCAAGUCCAAAGCUAGAGUUCCACUCCAAGAGUGAGAGUAAAAGUGUUCCACUACACAUUGUGAGUGAAGUUUAGAGUGAUAGAAAGUGUGUGUCAUACUUUCUUGUAUCCAUCAAGCCUUGUCUUUGGCUUGGUAAGACUACUCUUGUUGUACUCAUAUUUUUCAUAUAGUGAAGAUUGAUCAUUUGUUUAGUGGACGUAGGCAUAAAUUGCCGAACCACAUAAAUUCUUGGUGUCCAUUUUCUACUUUACCUUGUGUUGAUGCACAAAACCGGAGGUCUUGGAACAACGUAAAUCCGACCGUGAAUUCUGCACAAACGCUCAAGAACACGAAGAACACAAAGAACACAAGGAUUUUAUCGUGGUUCACCCCAAUGUUUGGGCUACGUCCACACUGUAGUUGAUUCUGUUUCUCUGUAAUUGUAUGGAUACAAGUGUUUGGGGGAAGUCCCCCGGAGGAGAAAGAAGAGAAGGGAGAGGAGAGCCUCGGUAGUGUGAGGUCUCUCCUGAAUGUAAUGAUAGCUUCUCUUAGCCUUCUUAGGCUUGGCUCUUUUGCCUCCCUUAGAAUGAGGGGAGGAGUCCCCUUUUAUAGAAUAAGGGGCUCCUCCUCUUUUACAAAGUAUGGGCUUUAGUGUGAGGCCCAAAUACAAGGCCCAAGGCCCAAAUAUACGAGGCCCAAUAUAUGGUACCAACAGGAGUCCCCCAAGUCUUCAGUCAAGAGAGUCUUUUGGCUGGAGACUUCAAAUUCAGUCCAUGUGUGGGCCGAAGUGACUAGAUGUUGUCCAGAACCAGUGCUCAACAUGAAGCAACGCUUAACAUAAAGUAAUACUCAGCUAGAGGUAGCACACGUUACGAGGUUGCCCGGCCGGAGGUGAUGCCCGUUGCGAGGCUGCUUGGUUAGAGGCUUACGCUCGCGGUGAGAACUUGCUUGGUUAGAGGCUUAUGCUCGCAGCGAGAGGUUGCUCGGCUGGAGUCGAUGCUCAUUGCAAGGUUGCUUGGCUAGAGGCUUAUGCUCGCGGCGAAAGGUUGCUCGGCCGGAGUUGAUGCCCAUUGCCAGGUUGCUCAGUAAGAGGCUACGCUCGCAGCAAGGCGGCUCGACUCGUGGCAUUCCUGGUUGCAAGUACGUACUUUAUGUCAAUGUGCACUCAGUAUGAGUUGAUUCUCGACCUGACUAGGGUCUGUAAGUUGGGUCUGAUUUUGUAAGUGCCCAAAAUGAAUGGUGUCUGAGCCCAUGGGUGUCCAAGCAAAUGGAUGUCCUGGUUGGGUAAGAGAUCAAUGUUGAUCAGUAGAGCUGGUUGCUCGAUAAUUCCUGACAAUAAAUGACAGCAUAAGUCUGAUUGUAUAAAUCAAUAACGUGGUAUUAAUCAUGUAAUAUAAAAAAUAAUAAUCAUAUUAUUUAAUCAUGAGUCAUCAUGAUAUAGAAAUAAUAUAAUCAUUAUUUUAUAAUAAUUAUAAUCAUCAUGACGUAAAAAUAAUAAAAUAUUUAAAGGAAAAGAAUAUUAUCCCUGUGUUUUCGGUGGAGGCAUGGUGGAGACAUAGUGAUGAUAGCGGGACUAUCCCACUAAAUUUCUGUUCCCCACUUUCUUUUUUAUUCUUUUCUUUUUCUUUUUUUUUUCUUUUCUUUUCUUUUUCUUUUUCUUUCUUUUUCUUUUUUCUUUUUUUUUUCUUUUUCUUCUUUCUUUUCCUGGUGCUAUGGCCGACACCAGUGGGAUUUUUCCCACCAAACCUGUUCCACUUUCUCUUUUUACAGGUUUAGUGGAUGAUUGCUGCCUUCUAGUGGAUGACUCCAAUUGAGUUGAUUCUUUCUGUUUCCCACUCUCUCUGAGAAAAAAAAUCACAGUGCCUCUCUCUCUGACCGUCCCCCUACGGCCCUCCGGUUCGCCGCGCGAGUCACUCUUUAACUCGCUGACCCAGUCACUGAGCUCAGCUUCAUCCUCAAUCAGACUCUUCGAAGCUCCACCAACUCUUCGUAGGCACGUGGCAACUCGGACCCCGACCUAGUCCUGGAGCCCCGGAACGCCUCGUCGACGUCCUUGCUGUUGAGCAGGUUGAUCGCCAGCUUCAGUCCAUGCGCCACCAGCGACGAGAACAGGAAGAAGCUGAAGGAAACGGCCUCCCCUCCGCAGCCAUCUCCGCCAUUUCGGCCACCGCCUCCGCUGAUACUAUCUUCAUUCUAGAACAGUCCUGAUCCUCUGUACUCAGCCUCGUCGAGUACGUCACCCCGCCUCCUAUCUGAGAGCUCAACCUAGCGCGCGGUCGGAGCUGGCAGUGGACCUAAUGGUGCGGCGAACCUUGCCGUGCGCGUAGCGGCACUCGCUUCCGUGGCCACAGGUUUUGGCCUCACGCCUGAAAAAGGAGCAGAGGCUGGUCUUCCAUACUUCAUGCAGUUUUGGUGCUCAUGGAUUGCCCAACAUGUUGUGUUUGUGUAGUAGGGAGCCUCUGGAUUUGGAACCCAUCAGAACAGAAGAAUUGGAAAGCUGAUUUCCCUGAAAAGAGCCCAGAAAACCCAGUGUCGCAGCCCAGGUCGAAGCUGCUGUGGCGGCUGUGGAGGGUCGAGAGAGAAGAGGGUGGAGGUGGCGAGUUGGGCCUGGAGCUCCGGGAGCUUGGCCUGGUAUUAAGGCCCAUUUUGGAGCAACGGUACACAAUCUGCCCCUUUUUGUUCAGUCAGAUUUUGAAGUUUUGGAUGAGUGGGUUAGUGAUCUGAGCAUAUCUACGGCAAAGAUCUGAUGAAUUCCGAGGAUGAGAGAAAGGUAGAGUGUUUGUGGGUUUUUUUUCUGCGAGUGGUGCAGAUUCACGGUGGUGAAAAUGAAAAAUUGAGGAAGAGAACCGACAUAGCUUUUUGUGUCGUUUCCCACAGACGGCGCCAAAUGUUGAUGCACAAAACCGGAGGUCUUGGAACAACGUAAAUCCGACCUUGAAUUCUGCACAAACGCUCAAGAACACGAAGAACACAAGGAUUUUAUCGUGGUUCACCCCAAUGUUUGGGCUACGUCCACACUGUAGUUGAUUCUGUUUCUCUGUAAUUGUAUGGAUACAAGUGUUUGGGGGAAGUCCCCCGGAGGAGAAAGAAGAGAAGGGAGAGGAGAGCCUCGGUGGUGUGAGGUCUCUCCUGAAUGUAAUGAUAGCUUCUCUUAGCCUUCUUAGGCUUGGCUCUUUUGCCUCCCUUAGAAUGAGGGGAGGAGUCCCCUUUUAUAGAAUAAGGGGCUCCUCCUCUUUUACAAAGUAUGGGCUUUAGUGUGAGGCCUAAAUACAAGGCCCAAGGCCCAAAUAUACGAGGCCCAAUAUAUGGUACCAACACCUUGAGUAUUCUCUAUCUUGUAGUACCGAGAUUCCUAACAAGUGGUAUCAGAGCCCGGUUGGCUCGUACUACGAGAUGGAAGGAAGUGGCAUUAUAAUCAAACUCACCAACUCCAAUUGGGUAACAUGGAAGCCAAGGAUGGAGGACAUUCUCUAUUGCAAGGAUCUGCAUGAGCCAAUUGAAGGAGAUGCCGCUAAGCCCGAGAGCAUGUCCGAUGCCGAGUGGAAGAAGAUGAAUCACAAGGCUAUUGGCACAAUUAGACAAUGGGUGGACGAUAGUGUUUUUCACCAUGUAUCUAAUGAAACCAAUGCCCGCGAGUUUUGGACAAAGCUUGAGUCCUUGUUCGAGAAGAAGACCCCAGCCAAGAAAGCAUUCUUGAUCAAAGAGCUCAUCAAUGUGAAGUACAAGGAUGGUUUAAGUGUAGCAGAACACUUGAACAAAUUCCAAAAUGUCAUCAACCAGUUGGCUACUAUGAAAAUGACGAUUGAAGACGAGCUACAAGCGCUCUUGUUACUUGGAUCCUUGCCAGACAGUUGGGAGACCUUUGUGGUAAGUAUAAGUAACUCUGCUUCUAAUGGUGUUCUUACUCUUGAUAAUUUUAAAAAUAGCUUGCUCAAUGAAGAAACAAGGAGAAAGACUUUAGGCACAUAUAGCAGCUAAAUAUUUGUCACAGAGAACCGCGGAAGAAGCAAGAGUAGAGGGCCUAGAGGCCAUGGCAGGAGUACUAGCCGAUCCAAGUCAAGGUUCAGGGGUGCAUGCCACCAUUGUGGCAAAGAAUGCCAUAUGAAGAAAAAUUGUCGAGUUUGGAAGAGAGAGCAAAGGAAAGGAAACAAUCAGAAGAAAGAUGAUACUGGUAAUACCAUCGCUGUCAUAUGUGGUGAUGUACCAGAAAUAUUAUCUGUUGGUGAAUGUCUGCAUACGGGCAACUCUGAUAGAGACACUGAAUGGAUCUUUGACAAUGGAGCUUCCUUCCAUGCUACGUCCAAACGGGAGUUCUUUAGUACAUACAAAGAAUGUGACUUUGGCAUAGUGAGGAUGGGGAAUGAAAGUUAUUCCAAAAUACUUGGAAUUGGUGAUAUUUGCCUAAGAACUAAUCUCGGUUGCCAGUUGAUGUUGAAAUAUGUGAGACAUAUUCCUGAUAUACGUCUCAAUCUGAUAUCCAUCGGUACCCUUGAUCGACAAGGUUAUUAUCAUCAUAUUGGCGAAGGAAAAUUGAAGCUUACUAAAGGUUUAAUGGUGGUAGCAAGAGCACGACUUUGUUGUACAUUGUACCGGUCAAAUGCCAAAGUUUUAAAAGGUGAGUUGAAUGCUGUGGAGGACUUAUUUCUAGACUUGUGGUAUAAGAGGCUAGGCCACAUGAGUGAGAAAGGCCUACAAGUUUUGGCAAAGAAGUCUCACAUUCCAUUUACCAAAGGUACGUCAUUAAACUCUUGUGAGCAUUAUUUAUUCGGAAAGCAAAUAAGAAUUAUCUAAGUCCUUUGACAUGAAGGACUUAGGGCCAGCCAAGCAGAUUUUGGGCAUGGAGAUAAUUCGUGACAGAAAAUCCAAGAAGUUGUGGCUGUCACAAGAAAAGUAUGUUGAACGGGUGCUUGAAAGGUUCAACAUGAAAGCAGCCAAAUCGAUAAGCUCACCUUUAGCCAAUCAUAUCAAGUUGAGCAAAGAGUCGUGUCCAAAAACAUAUGAAGAAAAGGAGAAAAUGGCAGUUGUUCCCUAUUCUUCAGUAGUAGGAAGUAUCAUGUAUGCAAUGGUGUGCACACGACCAGAUAUUGCUCAUGCAGUAAGUGUGGUGAGCAGGUUUCUCUCUAAUCCAGGGAAGGACCACUAGGAAGCUGUUAAAUGGAUUCUUAGAUAUUUGAAGGGGACUUCUAAGAUGUGCUUGUGCUUUGGCGGUUCCAAACCAAUCUUGGAAGGAUUUACAGAUGCUGACAUGGGAGGUGACCUGGAUGGUAGAAAAUCUACGUCUAGGUACUUGUUUACUUUUGUAGGGGGAGCCGUGUCUUGGCAAUCCAAGUUACAAAAGUGUGUUGCUUUGUCCACAACCGAGGCUGAAUACAUAGCCGCUACAAAAGCAUGCAAGGAGUUGUUGUGGCUGAAGCGGUUUCUCCAAAAGUUGGGUUUGAAGCAAAGUGAUUAUGGCGUUUAUUGUGAUAGUCAGAGUGCUCUGGAUUUGAGCAAGAACACUACAUAUAAUUCACGCACUAAGCAUAUUGAUAUUCGUUAUCACUGGAUUAGAGAUGCUAUCGAGAACAAGUUACUACAGCUGAAGAAUAUUCAUACCGAUAAUAAUUCUUCAGACAUGUUGACAAAGGUAGUCACAAAAUCAAAGUUGGAAUUCUGCAUUAAGGCUGUUGGGAUGGACUCCAGGUAACUUGGAGUCAUGAUUGGAAUUCCUCCCUCAUGGACUGGAGGGGGAGAUUGUUGGUAUAUGGUCCAGCCCAUGAUGAAUGUUCUAGAUUAUUUUAGUAAGCAAGUGAGGUGGCUAGAGCAUGCUAGACAAUUCUAGCAUGUUAUUAAGUUGAUGGAAGAAGUUAAAGAGUACUAGCUUCCUUAGUUGCAAAUGGAAAGAUUUAGAAGCUACAAUUUUGUGGCUAGUCUAUAAUUAUCUAUGCUAGAGGUUUGAAGAAUACAAUAGAAACUAGUAGAAUGCCAAACCCUCACCUAUAAAUAUGGGUGUGAUGUUGUAGUGAAGUAACCAAUUAAGAACCAAGAUUGAGUAGCAAAGGAUCAAGUCCAAAGCUAGAGUUCCACUCCAAGAGUGAGAGUGAGAGUGUUCCACUACACAUUGUGAGUGAAGUUUAGAGUGAUAGAAAGUGUGUGUUAUACUUUCUUGUAUCCAUCAAGCCUUGUCUUUGGCUUGGUAAGACUAAUCUUGUUGUACUCAUAUUUUUCAUAUAGUGAAGAUUGAUCCUUGUUUAGUGGACGUAGGAAUAAAUUGCCGAACCACAUAAAUUUUUGGUGUCCAUAGUGAAGAUUGAUCCUUGUUUAGUGGACGUAGGCAUAAAUUGCCGAACCACAUAAAUUCUUGGUGUCCAUUUUCUACUUUACCUUGAGCAUUCUCUAUCUUGUAGUACAGACAUUCCUAACAGAAUGUUUCAUGCAAAUUGGAUUUGAAUCUUCUGUUGGCAAUUUAUGAAACAUGUAUUCUCCUCUCUGAGAACUGGGAGAAGGCUGCGAUUCCUACAAACGCCUUGUACUGACUUACAGUGGUAAUUGGACUUGUGAAAAAUAGGCCAAGUUAAGUCCAGUUCCAAAUCUCAGAAUUCAUAUACCUGCCCCAGCCUGCCUCGUUGCAUUUUAAAACGGGUCCGGUGUGGUCUCUAUAAAUUCAGGCAUGGACCGGUAGGAAAAACCAAGAUGGACAUUCAUCCAAGACAAAGGAAAAGCAACAAGAAAAUAAAGACAGUUAAGCUUGGAGUUUCCAUCAAAAUAUGCCAAAGGAAAGCGCGCAAAUCUGCACAGCCCUAGCUAUUUCCUUACCAUGAAAUCUAACCCUUCCACAUGCCACUUAUUUUCCUCCAAAAUAACAAAAGCAUGUGCAAACAUAUAAUAUUUUGCAUAUAUGUAGAUGUAGCUGCAAGUUAUACCGCCAUAGAUGUAGAUGUACCCAUAUUAUCAUAGAAAUAAAUAAAUAUUUAUUUUUUGCUUUGAAUUUUCUACAGGUCAAAAGGGGGAGGUGACUUGUGCAUAAUUCCUGCCUAAUGUAUUCUUAAUUUGGAAAUUGUCUCGCUCAAACCCAUAUCCUUUAUAAAACCCACAUUUAGAGAUAGAUCAUAUAUACAUACAAACCAAGAACAAUUUCCAAUCAAAAUAUAUGCUACAAAUGGCAAUUCCAAGGCUUCCCCAUAUCUUACAACUUUCAGUUCUUGUGCUUGAUAACAUAUGUAUCUCUAGCUAUUCAUAGCUAUGAAAAGGAAGAAAAGGAUUUGGAAGAAGAAAAGAAGAAAAGUAUUUGAGAAAUAGAAAGUAAUCUACUGAUUGCAUUGAAUGAAUGAAAUGUAUAUUGUUUACAAUGCUUUUAUAACCAUCCCACACUUUUACUUACGAAACUACCCUUUCUUAUCUCUAAGAUUCUAACUAACCACAACCAAUUACACCCAUCUCCAACCAUACAAUUCUGACAUGUCAGCUACCAUUGAAAUAUUGCCAUGUGUCACUUAUCAUCCCCCCUCAAUCUUGGCUAGGGUUCUAAGCCUAAGAUUGCAACAAUGUUUGAAAAACACUGGACUAUGUAAACCUUUGGUUAAAAUAUCAGCUGUCUGCUCCUCAGUGGGUACAUACUGAACCAGGAUGUUCUUCUGCUGAACUUUUUCCCGAACAAAGUAGAAAUCAGUAUCAAGGUGUUUGAUUCUGGUGUGAAAUACAAGAUUGGAACAGAGAGCAAUGGCAAACAAGUUAUCAUAGUGUAUAAAAGGAGGGUCAGGCAAAAACUUAUGCAAAUCCUUCAAUAGAUUCCGAAUCCAUGUAAUAUCAGCAGCACAAUGAGCAAGAGACUUAUACUCGGCUUCAAUUGAACUUCAGGAAACAGAAGCUUGCUUCUUAGACUGCCAUGAGAUUGGAUUAGAACCAAGAUAAACAACAAAACCAGUAACGGAUCUCUUGGUAUUAGGAUCAGCUGCCCAAUCAGAAUCUGAGAAGGCAACAAGAGACGGAUCACUGGAUGAUGAAUAAGUGAGUCCAUAUUCAAGCGAACUUUGCACAUAGCGUAAAAUCCUUUUGACCAGAUCAUAGUGCACUUCAGUGGGAGUAUGCAUAUAUUAACACGCAAUAUUAACAGCAUAUGCCAAAUCGGGUCGUGUGAAUGUAAGAUAUUGUAAGGCUCCGACUAUACUGUGAUAGAGUGUUGGAUCAGGUAAGGGAAUGCCCUCUGAAUCAAGAAACUGAGAAUGAGGUCGACAUGGUGUAUUCACAGAUUUGCAAUUAUCCAUGCUGGCCUUGUGAAGUAAAUCUUUGGCAUAUUUAGUUUGACUGAGAAAAAUAUCUCCAUUUGAUUUAUAUGUAAUCUGCAGUCCCAAAAAAUACGAUAAUCUGCCCAUAUCUUUGAGAUCAAACACAUCCCCCAAUUCUAUAACAACUGCUUGAAUCUUUGUUGUAUUAGAACCGGUUAGAAUGAUAUCAUCAACAUAAAGUAAUAAAGCAAUAACAUCCACACCAUCAUAUUUCACAAAUAGACUAGUAUUAGAUUGUGACAUGGUGAACCCCAUAGCAGGUAGAUAGCCAAUGAACUCGGCAUUCCAUGCUCGAGGUGCCUGUUUAAGGCCAUAGAGAGACUUAACCAACUUGCAAACGUGAUUAGGAUACUGAGGAUCAAUAAAUCCUUAUGGUUGGUGCAUAUAGACCUCUUCUUCCAAGUCACCAUGCAAAAAUGCAUUUUUAAUAUCAAGUUGUCUCAAUUCCCACUUGUGUUGGGCUGCAAAAGAAAGAAUGAGUCUCACCGUAGUAUGGUGAACUACAGGACUAAAAGUUUCAAAAUAAUCCAAACCAUGUUCCUGAGAAUACCUAUGAGCCACCAAACGCGCCUUAUAUCUUGAAAUCGAACCAUCUGGAUUCUUCUUUAGUUUGUACACCCACUUACUUCCAAUAACUGCCCUGUGAAUAGGUGGAGGCACUAAAUGCCAAGUUCCUUGACUUUGAAGGGCAUCAUACUCCUCUUGCAUUGCAUUUUGCAGGUGUGUGUUUGUUCCAGCAGUUCGAAAGGAUGUUGGUUCAGCACUAUCAGUAAUAUGAGCCAUAAGAGAAAAACCAUUGUGACAUGUAUCCAUAUCAUCCAGUCUCAAAGUGGACAAUUCAGGCAAAGAUGCAAUAUAACUAGAGUAGUCUUUUCUAGAAAUGGCACCAGUUUGCAACUUGGUUUGCAUCCUGUGAGGAGGAGGAUCACAGUGUGAGAUAUUAUCAAGAGUAGAUGGAUCAAAGGGAAGAAUUACCUCCAAUUGUGCAGGAUGAAUGACAGGUAACACAGAGGCUGUUUGUGGAGCUAGGAGAGUUGUUUCAGAUUGUGUAGAUGAUGUAGAGCUAUCAAAUGUAGUGCUGGAACCCUGAAAGUGUGACGGUACCACUGGAACAGGAAACUCAGAACCAGACAAUUGCACCUCAGUACUAGGAGACAUAGGCACAAUAUCAGAUAUGGUGAUAGCAGGUGAAGAAAGUACUGGAAGAACAAAUGGGGCAGAUGAUCUACGACUAUGAGCUUCCUGAGUAAAAGACAAACCCUGAGAUUGAUAUGUGAACAUUGCAAAAUUGAUCUUGCAAGGAAACACAUCCUCAUUGUGAAUAACAUGUCUAGAAAUAAUCAACUUUCUAGACUGUGGAUGAUAGCAUAUAACCCCUUUGUAUCCAUGUGUGUAGCCAAGAAAAACACAUAACACUGCUCUUGGUUGUAACUUGUUUUCAUUGUAUGGUUUAAUAUAUGGAUAGACUGCACUGCCAAAGACUUUCAACUCUUGCAGCCUAGGAGCAUCACCAAAUAAUAUCUGAUAUGGAGAAUUCAAAUGUAAAAUCUUACAUGGCAUCCUGUUGAUUAAAAAAACAGAAUGAGCACAUGCAUGAAACCACAACUCUUGAGACAAACCAGCAACUGUCAUGAGUGUUAUGGCUGUUUCUACAAUAUAUCUAUGUUUCCUCUCAGCAACUCCAUUUUGCUGAGGGGUAUAUGGACAAGAAACUUGAUGAAUAAUACCCUUUUGAGACAAAAAAAUUCUGAAAUCUCUUACUUAUAUACUCUUCUCCUUCAUCAGUUUGAAUGCACUUAAUACCAACAUUAAACUGAGUAUACAACACUAUAAAACUUGAGAAAGACAUCAAAGACUUCUGAUUUAUUAACUAAUGGGAAUAUCCAAACAUAUCUAGAAAAGUCAUGUACAAAACUGACAUAAUAUCGGAAACCUUCAAUGGAUUUUGUAGGUGAAGGCCCCCAAAGGUCAUAAUGAAUCUUUUGAAAGGGAAAUACAGAUUUUUUUUCUUAUCUACAAAAGGUAAUCGAGUCAUCUUUCCUGAAAUACAAAAAGAACACAUAUGUUAUGUAUCAUCUACACUACUAGUUAUCUGAGAGAGCUUCAACAUUGUAGACAACACUUCAUUGCUCGGAUGUCCACACCGUUGAUGCCAACUCACAUGCUUGACUUUCUGACCAAGUAAUCCAGUGAGCUUAUUCUGAGACUCCACUAUAGCAUCUGUAAUCAACCUGGUAAGAAUCUUAAACAACUUUCCAUCAUUGCUCCUUCCUUGGUACAGCACAGCCUUGGUUACCUUGUCAUGCACAAAGAAAUCAUUUUCAUCACAUAUGAACCAACAGGAAUUAUCUUUACAAAGUUGUUUAACUGAUAACAGAUUUACUUCAAUAGUAGGCACAUGUAACACAUUUCGCAGAAUUAAAGAUUGAGGUAAUGUGUGCAAUUUUGUAGAUCCAAUGUGACGAAUAGGCAAACCCCCUAUUGCCAAUUGUAAUUCGAUCAGUACCCUCGUAUGCAUUGACUUGCUGAAGAGCAUUCACAUCUGCAGUCAUGUGAUGUGAUGCACCUGUGUCCACAAUCCAAGAAUCACUGGGCAAGUAAGUUGGUUGGACUUAUGCUUGCAUGGCAGUGAGUGACUCUGAUGGUACACUGCCUUGAUAAGAAAAAUUGUUCCGAUGAUAGCAGUCCAAAGCAUUGUGACCCUUCUUCCCACAGAUCUGACAUUCAACUACUGUACCACUCGAGUUAGGAGUUGUAGACCUUUUCCAGCAAUUUGGAGUGGUAUGACCUCUUUUGAAGAAAAUCUGACACUCGGGGACAAUAUGUGACCUUGUUUCAGUGUUACCUGACCAAGAAUUCCAGUUGCCAUUAUUCUGCCUGUUACCAAAAGAUUGGCAUCUGCCAUGACUUGUAUGAUUCCCACCUUGUGAGGAUCAAAAAUUACCAUUCCCAUUACCAUUAUUAUUAGGCCUGAAAGACCGCGGACCACCAUUGGUAUUAGAAAACUGCCUUGGUGCAGCAACAUUUCCCACAAAACCAUAUGCAUUCGGAAACUCAGAAUAGCUCGAGAAAGAAGCUGAUGAGGAAGGAAACUGAUGGCCAGGAACUUGAGGAUACAGUAGUGGCAUAGUAGAAGAAGCCGGUAUUGAAACCGGUGUAAAUGGCAAAGAACCACUAUUUGAAACAGUUCCUUGGGAAAAACCAGAAGCUUGCAUUCCAAAUGAUGAAGACCCACUUGGCAUUUGAGUUAAAACACCGCCAGUUGUACAUGGAAUCCCACCAGAGUUACUAGAAGACCCCUGAGAUGAACCUUGUGAUGAUCCUUGCAUAUACAAACCCGUGAAAUUAUGAGGCAUAGUAGUCAAAAGAGACUCAGCUUCUCUUUCAGCACAUAACAACUGCUCACGAAAUUCUCUUAGUGUGAUAGAAGUAUCCCAAGUAAGAAUCAUUGUCCUGAUGGUAAAGUAUUCUCUAGGCAACCCAGAUAAAGCAGCCAAGACAAAGUCAUUAUCCGAAACAAUCUCUCCAGCAUUAAGUAAUUGUUCUUUAAUGACCUUAAGCUUUGACAAGAAUUGAUCUAUGGAAUCACCUCCUUUCUGCACAGUGUGAAACUCAGUCUUAAGAGUAUUAACUCUAGCCUUGGAAACUGAUGCAUACCUAUCUUGUAAGUUAAACCAAGCAUCAUGUGCAGUUCUGCAUCCAAUAACAUGCUCAAUUGCUUCAUCAGACAAGGUAGCAAGAAGUAAACUUAACAAUGCCAUAUCAACAGAUUCCCACUCCAAGAAAGCUUCAUUAAUUGUUGUAGUAACCCCAUUUUCCGGAUGAACAACAUAUUUUGAAUGACACACAGCAGAACCGUCAAAGUGAUCAAACAACUUAUACCCUUUCAAAACGGAUUUAAACUGAAAAGCCCAUUUAGAAAAAUUUCGAUCAUUCAAUUUAAUCAUCAACAUCCCCAAAAAUCCCUCAAUUUUCACACCAGGAACAGUCAUGAUUUACAGAUCAAAGGAUUGCACAGAGAUAACACCAAUUGAAAACCUAAGAAUUGCAGAACACCAGAGAAUGGCUUCGUAUUCAAGAACAACCAAAAAUAGCUUCGUGCCUCAAAACAAAUUUAACAAGAUUCACGACUUCAGCAAGAAAAAUGGCUUUGUGCCCUAACAAUCCAACAAGAAAAAUGGCUUUGUGCCUCAACAAUUCAUCAAUUCAACAAGAAAAUGGCUUCGUGCCCCAACAAUCCAUCAAUUCAACAAGAAAAUGUCUUCGUGCCCUAAAACUUCAACCAGAAAUUCACCAAAUGAAACAUAUCACCUGAGAUUGACAUGUAUUCAGAUCCAAAACUACAGAAUCUUCAGCUUUUCAUGCCCACAGCAGAUCGACGACUCUGAUACAUAUGUAUCUCCAGCUAUUCAUAGCUAUGAAAAGGAAGAAAAGGAUUCGGAAGAAGAAAAGAAGAAAAGUAUUUGAGAAAUAGAGAGUAAUCUACUGAUUGUAUUGAAUGAAUGAAAUGUAUAUUGUUUACAAUGCUUUUAUAACCAUCCCACACUUUUACUUACGAAACUAUCCUUUCUUAUCUCUAAGAUUCUAACUAACCACAACCAAUUACACCCAUCUCCAACCAUAUAAUUCUGACAUGUCAGCUACCAUUGAAAUACUGCCAUGUGUCACUUAUCAGUGCUCCUAUCUAUUUCAUGGGCAGUUUCAGCUGAUCAUGAGACCUUUGUUCAUUGCCUUCUAAACCAUUCCCAACCCUCUCACCCAAUUGCCCCAGCAAUUCACACUUCCAACAAUGCUUCCUACUCAUCCGUUUUGGAAUCUUACAUCUGAAACCUCCGAUUCAACACAUCUACAACCCAAAAACCCUUCCUCAUCCUCACUGCAUUGCAUGAGUCCCACGUGUAAAUAUCCGUUGUUUGUGCCCAAAUCCAUAACUUUCAAAUGAAGAUUAGAAGUGGAGGCCAUGAUUUUGAGGGUUUAUCAUACGUGGCUGAAUUUCCAUUCUUCAUCCUUUACAUGUUUAAUCUUCGAUCCAUCCACGUAGACAUCAAAUCCGAGACUGCAUGGGUCCAGGCUGGGGCUACUCUUGGUGAACUUUACUACAGAAUUGCUGAGAAAAGCAAAAUCCAUGGCUUUCCUGCUGGUGUUUGCCCUACAGUUGGUGUUGGAGGCCACUUCAGUGGCGGUGGAUAUGGUAAUAUGAUGGGAAAGUACGGCUUGUCAGUUGACAACAUAGUUGAUGCACAACUUGUAAAUGUGAAUGGUGAACUUCUCGACCGAAAAUCAAUGGGAGAAGACCUUUUUUGGGCCAUUACAGGAGGCGGAGGAGCCAGCUUUGGAGUUGUGAUCGCGUACAAACUUAAUCAUGUACGUGUUCCAGAAACAGUUACUGUUUUAAAGGUUCCGAGAACCCUAGAACAAAAUGCAACGGACAUUGUCUAUCGUUGGCAAUAUAUCGCGGAUAAGCUUGACAAUGACUUGUUCAUCAGGCUUAUCAUGGAUAUUGUAAAUGGUACUACUUCAAAUAGUAGUGGAGAAAACAAUAAGACUCUUAGGGCUUCAUUUAUUGCCAUGUUUCUCGGAGACUCUGAGAGGCUCCUCUCAAUCAUGGACAAGAGCUUCCCUGAAUUGGGUAUGAAGCAAUCUGAUUGCAAUGAAAUGAGCUGGGCUCAAUCUGUGCUUUUCUGGACGAGCUUCCCAACCGGGACAGCAACUGAAGCUUUGCUUUCAAGAACACCUCAAGUGCUUACACACUUCAAGAGAAAGUCAGACUAUGUCAAAAAACCAAUUCCAAAAACUGGUUUGAAGUGGAUUUUUUAGAAAAUGAUUGAGCUUGAGACACCAUUGUUGACCUUCAACCCCCCACGAAGGAAAAAUGAGUGAGAUAUCGGCGUCGGCAACUCCAUAUCCUCAUAGAGCUGGGAAUCUCUGGAUGGUUCAGUAUGCAACAAACUGGAACAUACAAGGGCCUGAGGCAUCAGAUCAUUAUAUUGAUCUGACAAGAAAACUCUACAUGUACUUGACUCCUUUUGUUUCCAAGAAUCCAAGGAAAUCCUUUUACAGCUACAAGGAUCUUGACAUUGGGAUCAACCAUAAUGCUAAUGGCAUUGCAAGCUAUUUGGAGGGGAGAGUUUUUGGCAUUAAGUACUUCAAGCAUAACUUUGAUAGGUUGGUGAAUGUGAAGACCAAGGUCGAUCCUGGUAAUUUCUUUAGAGCAAUUCCACCCAUGGAGCCCUUCCCCCUGGCAAUCCACUAUUCAAUCCACCCUAUUAAACAGUAACUGCCUUAAAUGAAUAGUAACUACUAUUAAUGAACAGUAAUUGCCAUUUACAUCUCCACCCUUGCAACCCUCCCCCUGGCAAUAAGCAAUUAAAAUAAUAGUUUUUUUUGUUUGUUUAAAUAAUAAAAAACCCCUCUCUCUCUCUGACACAAAAAAAAAAAACAAUUACAAAGCCCUCGGGCCACAGGCCCGUCGACUUCCCCCCCCCCUUCGCUCGGCCUCCCACCCUCACUCGGGCCCUUCCCCGCUGGAGCUGCUCCCACCGGCCCUCAGGCCCUUUCUCCUCCCCUAUCGCCCGAGCAACCAACAUCCGCUGGAGUUGCUCUUAGGAAUGAACAAAGUAUCCCACCACUUCCAUACAGUCAUUAUUUAGCUUCUUGUUGUGCAUGUUUUUUUUCUAUUGCUUUGGGGUUAGUUAUGUACAUCUUUAAUCAGCCAAAGAAAUAAAAAAAGAAGAAAGAUAUUGCUUACAAGAUUGCAAUUUGUUAGUACUUAAUUAUUACAAGUUUCAAGAAAAAUCUCUCCAAAAAUUGACAAAUUAGUAGGCUUUCUGGGAUUUCACUUUUCUAACUCUUGUUAAAAAAUUUACUUGUUUAUUUAAAGACAUUCCGUCAUUGAAAAUUUAGUAGGGACUAAUUGGCUUUUUCUACUUGCUUUGAUCAACAUGUUGUAGCAUGUCUCACAUUGGUAUCUUGAUUAAUUAUACAUACAACUUAUAUUGAACGAUUCUAUUACUAAUUACAUCAUGCCCCUUUGCAUAAAAUUUCACACAUAGUGAAUGACACAUGUGGUUAAGUUUGAGACAAUAGAGUUAUCUUCGUGUGCGUGGCCCACUAAAGAGGACAUGUUAAAGCAUGUCUAACAUCGUAAACAUGAGGGGGGGGGCACAAUGUCGUUGCAUGGGGAUGCGAUUCGCCAAGCUGAGCCAAACAAAACAGUCUGCCCACCCCCCCCCCCCCAAAAAAAAAACCACCGGAUUAGGAAUGCGAAGGCCUCCCCUUUUCUAUCACUUUGUUUGAGAAUUACAUACAACUGAUAUUGAUUAAAUUACAUACAAUUUAUAUUGAAUGAUUCCACUAUUAAUUAUAUUGACCUUUUUUAUGAGACUCAUACCUUUUAAAUUGCACAUUUUGUUAAGAAGACAAUAUUAAUAUAUGGAUCAUUUCUAUUUUCUUCUGUCUCUUGAUCUUGGGAUAAAUAGUAUACAUAGAGUAGUUUGGUUCAACUGAAGUGACACCGUGAUCAAUAUCGAUAUCUAAUCUACAAGGAAAUAUAUACGCAUCUAAAUUGGAUUCCUUUUUUUUUUUUUUUUUUUUUUUAGUUUGGUUCAACUGAAGUGACACCGUGAUCAAUAUCGAUAUCUAAUCUACAAGGAAAUAUAUACGCAUCUAAAUUGGAUCCUUUUUUUUUUUUUUUUUUUGGGGGGGUGAAAAAGAAAAAUCCCAGUUGGUUGGUAUGGCCUAUGGUCUUUUACUCCUAAAAUUUUGAAUUCUCCUUGUGCCAAAAAAUUUAAAAGUUGUCAGCGAUGCGGGAACUGUGGCCACUUACUUAUUCCCCAUCCAUCUCAACCCUUGCCAUAGAUUGAACCUCAAUUAUUUAACUCCCAACUCCUUUAAUAAUUUCGAGCCUGUGGCCCCAAACAUUUACCUCUACCUGGUGAACGGGUUCACCGUUCACGUGCUAAGCCACUAAUACAAUGUAUAUGCAUAUUUGUUUGAAAAUAAUUUGUAUUAGUGGUUUAAGACGUCAUGACGAUGAUAAACUUGUUUUAUGAAAGUUUCUCUCAUCAAUUAUCUCAUGUGAACCUCAUUUUUUUAUCAGAUUUUGUCAGUGGAGACCUUGCAAUUCACGUGUGUUGCUUUUAUUUGUAUAUAUUUAUAUGUAAAUUAUACAAAACUACUUCAAAUAUGUGUCGAACCACAAUCUCAUACUUAAUGUUUUAAACAUUACAAUGUCAUACCUUAUCUUACGAAUUCAUUGCCAUAUCAUACUUCCGUAAAAUUUUAUGUUAACUUUGAUUGUUAAAUGAUGAGAUGACACGUGCGGGACCUACAUACUCACCCAAUUGAAUUAAAAAAUUGAUUAAAUAUUAAUAACCAUUAAAAAAAAGAAAAUUAAUUAAAAUAGUUUGAAAACUUUAAUUUUAACGAUAAAAACAAAAUAAAUGGUAAAAUGAAUAGUAUCAAGAUUGACUUUUUACUGUAAAAAUAUAAUUUUUCGUUAAAAUAAACUGUACUGAGAACUUUAGGUUAAAGUUUAUUUAAAAAAAUUAUUAAACAAAUUGCGGGACCCACCUCCACCACCUACUUUAUCCCCACUCCAUACGUCCCCCUCCCUUUUUCCCUCUUUCUGUUCCAGAAACCCUCCCCCACCAUUUUUCCUCUGCAAUUCUCCCCCGCAGCCCCAACAACAAAACCCACCGCCAUUGUCUCUUCCUUGUCCUCGGGGAAACUCUCUUCCUCACUCACUCACUCAUUUCUUCUCUUCCACUCCUGCAACUCCCAAUUCACUCAUUACCAUUCCCGUCUUCGCCACUCUCUCUUCCCCUUUAGAAAACCCGCCUCUGGCCCAAGAUGGGCCCAACGGUUCUACUCGGAAGCCUAUUAGCCUUUCUUCGGGAAUGUACCAGUCGCCGGUGACAAUUGCGUUGUGGGAAGCGAGGUUGAAGAUCUUCGAGAGGUUCUUUCUGGACCCGCCCAAAGACGCGCCGUCACAUAACAGGACGAAGAUUCUCUACAGUGCAUUUGUUGGUGUUUCAAAAACGUCGUUGAUGGUGAGGAGGGAGCCUCAGCAAACUCCGGUUGGUGUUGCGAGAAAUUCCUCUGAUUCGGGCCGGGUUAGGUCGUUUGUUGUACCUUCUGCAUGCUCAGGUCUGCAAACUCCAGUUGGUGUUGCAGAUUCGGCAGAUCAGACCUGAAAUCGAACCGAAAAAAUGGUUCGCCUCGAGCCAGGUGCACGGGUCAAUGGAGGUGGAGUUCCAGGUGGUGAUCUUGUUGGAUGGUUAGAUGGCUUUGUUUCUCUGCAAGUGAGAAACAAAGCUAGGAGGUGUGCUGAGCAAUGGCGUGGUCAGAAAUUAUUCGACUGGUGGGCUAACCUAAUAUUAUUAGUCCGAAAUCAAAAUUUAAUCCUAUUUUUUCUACAUAAAGUUAUAUAAUAGUAAAAACUUGAAUGUAGUAAUUUGAAGCAAGAAAUUUAUGCUAUGUUUUAUAGGUUUCUAGCCUUCAAACUUUCCAUUGAAUAAAAUAAGGAACUAUUUGUGGUAUGAAAGUUUUAAUUUAUUACUAUUAAAUAUAAUAUUAGUUAAAGUGAUGAGUUUAUUUAACAUUUAUUAGUUCUUAUUAUUCUUAAAAACAACCUUAUUAAUAAUAAAAUUUCAUUUCCUAAAUGAAAUAUGACAAAUAAAAAUUAUAAACUAACUCAAAAAUUAAUAUUUUUAAGCUUGAAGAACCAAUUGUACUUGACUCCGCCCUUGGUGCUGAGGUUCGGCCAUGGCUGCCUUUUUUCAAGUGAGAGCAGAGAGAGAGUGAGGGAGACAAGUGAGAGGGGAGAGAAUAAUUGAGGAACAGAGUUCUUUUAUUUAAUUGUUAAAUAAAAAUAAUAAUUUAUUAUUAAUUAAUUGUUUUUUUUUUCUAGUUGGAAAAGGAUGGGUCCGUUCCUACUACAUCAUCAUUUAACAGUCAAUUGAUAGAAAAUUUAACAGAAGUUUGACAUUGUAACAAAUUUAUAAGUUGAGGUAUGACAUUGCAAUGUUUAAAACAUGAAGUAUGAAAUUGUGUAGUUCGACUCAUAAUUGAUGUAGUUUUGUGUAAUUUACCUUAUAUUUAUUUAUUUAUUAAUUUACCAUUAUUGAUCCAACAGUUGUGAUUUAAACCAUAGAACAUGAAGUACAAUUCCAACUGUGAUUAGCACCUAAUUAAAAUAUCGUAUAAAAAAUUUAAAAUAUAUAUAUAAAUUGAAGGAAAAAAAGAAAAAAACCCAAAAGUCCCCUUCGUCCCCAUCCCUUCUUCGCACCUGAACCCAUCCCCCAUCAGCCAUCAGCCAUCCCCUUCUCCCAUCCCCCAUCCCCCUCUCUCUUCCUAUACCCUCUCUUCCUGUACCCUCUCUUCUUACUCCCGUAUUCUCUCCCCCUUUCUCCUUUUCAAUUCACGAUGCAACAGCAGCCAAUUCUUUCUCUCUUCCUCUUUUCCUCUCUUCCUCUCUUUAUACCCAGUUGUGAAGGUGCUUGUAAUUUAAAGGAUGUUAAGUUGCUGACUCUUUUUUUGUAGAAGCUGCUGCUUUGAGAUUUGGCCUUUUCCAAGCCAAGCGUGCAUGUUACUCAGGGUUGGAGCCGCAGCUAAUCCACAACAAUGUGAAGUCGAGUAAUGUGCUGCUGGACCGCGGAGGCUAACUGAAAUCAAAGAAUCAGGUAGUAGUGAUUGUGAUUGAUGACGUGCCCAAGUAGGAGGAGCCGGAGAGCUACGGAUUUGCCUCUUUUGCUAUCGACCUCGAUGGUCACGACGGCUCCGAUGGCCUCUUCGAUUCGUCCCCAACGUUGGCGUCGUGGUCAACGACUACCUCUCGUUCUUUAAUUUGUUCAAACAUUAGAAACCACAAUUUCAGGGACAUCUGCAACACUAUCUUCAGUUAACAAACCCCUCGGGUGGAGAAGAAAACUUGGGAUGGGGUGGGUUUUUGGAUGGGAGGGGAGAUGAAGAGAGUGGAGGAGAUGGACGUGGGUCAGGGGAAUGGAUUUAUGGGUUCCAUUUUUUUUUUUUUUAAUUUUAAAUAGGAUAAAUUAUUGUAAUUUUUAAAUGCAUAAAAAAAUUCUUUUUUUACCACGUGACACACAUUUAGCAAUCACGUCAGCUCUUAACGGGCCAAUGGAUGGAAAAUGUAACGGUAACGGUUGUAUUAUAUUGAAAUAAAAUAGUAUUUGAGGUACGAAAGUGAAAUUUUUAAAGAUGUUGUAUAAGGUUGCAAUAGAUUUAAAACCGAAGGUGGUAAAGUGUAAUUUACCCUUUUUUUUCCAGUUCCUUUUCACUUCAUUUUCUCUGUCCGUUCAACACUAUCUCGCUUGCCGCCGUCAAUACAAUGGCGUCCUAAGUGGGAACCUACGUCGGGUGCCUUAUCGACAACCUGAGGUGGUAAUAUGAUUUCCGGAGCACAGUUGCCGUGUUAGCCUUCUAUUUGGAUCGCGAGAAUUUGGUAUCCAUUUUCUGGGAAUCUAAGAGAAGGCUUCAGUGGUGAGACUUUCAAACAUGAAUAUCUCAGUACGCUGAUACUGAUGGACCAAUCAUUUAAUUGAAAAGUCGAACAAGUGGUGUGAUAAUGUCGGCUCAUCAGGCGGUGGGUCGUCGUCGAUUUUUGUCAGUAAAACAGCUAAUAGAAUGUCCUCUCUCUCUUUCUCAGUCUCUCUAGCUAUUUCUCAUUCUCUCCGUCUAAGCUUCAACUUUCUAGAUUCGACGGGCGACAUAUUGUUGAAGGGUAGUAGCAAACCUUCCAUAAAUGCAGCAGCAUACCCGGUUUCGCAAGUUCGAAAGAUUUGAGGGGCAUAAUCCGGACUUUCAGUGGCGAUUUCAGACGAAUGAAGGGGCGGUCCCUCUGUAGCUUCGCCAAUGGGUGAUAGGUCUUGGCAGUCUGGAAGGUGGUGUGGUGGUUUGCGUUGGUUAAGGGUGGGGAUGGGUGUGUGCUUUGGAUGGUUGAAUCAUGGGAGGCAGAUGGGAAAAGCAGGGCAAUUUCGGUAGAGAAGUUUGAUUCCAGAUGUUGGCUUUCUUUCAGAAUUCAAUUACCACCUUCAAGUCAGUAUUUGGAUUCUGGGGAUAUUAGGAAUCCGAUUAUUGAUUUUGGAUGGAGCCUACUAAUUUUUUCAUUCCCAAAAUUUGGUCAAUGCCAGAAUCACUUGGAGAAAAAUUUCAUUCCCUUUCUUCUACCUCCAUUCCGAUUUGAUAAACGCGUGGUGAAGACCAUGUCAUCCAUUGGAGAUGCCCUAACAAAAUUAUUUUGUUAGAUGGACUAUGAAACUCAUGUUAAAAAAAAAAGGAAAAGAAAAAGACCAAUGCUAAACAAUCAUGGAAUCCAUUUUAUUUUUUCUUGAGACAAAACGAGGUCUCCAAGUCAAAGUAGACCAUGCCCCAAUAGGCUACAGAAUUUAGAUAAAUUAAGCAAAUCCACUCCUAGCUAAUUGUACACCAGGGGCUUCCUUUACAAUACAUCAAAUCAAUAAUAUUACAAACAUCAAUGUAAUUAUCGAGCAUGACGUGAUAGACCAUACUGCAUGUAAUUCAUUGUCAAACCUUCCGUUCUCUCUCGUAGCUAAACAGGUGGGAUACUUUGUUCAUGCUUGAAAAAAUUAUGAGGAUCAACCAUGGUUUUCACACGUACCAGUCUAUCAAAAUUACCUUUAAAAUACUUGCUCCCAUAAAUCUUCGCAAUCUGAAAGUUAGUCUGAUUAUCCAGAUUAGCCCCAAUUUCUAGAUCCCGGUAGUUUUGGAAGGCCUCUCUUGGGUUCUUGGAGACAUAUGGAGUCAUCAGGUCAAACAACUUUCUUGAUAAUUGAAGGUACUUGCUGGCUGCCUCAACACCUUCCUCUACCCAUACCGCAUAGUAUUGAAUCAAAAAUAGGUUUCCAGCUCUGUGAGGGGACGGAGUUGCCGACUCAGGAAUCUCGCCCAUUCUUCCACCGUAAGGGUUCCAGUCCAUCCAAAAAUUGUCUAUCUUAAUCAUCUCCUUCCAUAAGGAUUCUAUAACUCGUUUCGGAAUCGGUUCGUCACAUAGUCAGACUUGGCUUUGAAGAAGCUUGGUUGUCCAUUUGUCCUGUUGAGAAGAGUAGUUAUCGGAGUUCCAAAUGGGAAAUCAGCAAAGAACACUAUGUUUUCAAUCCAGCUCAUUUCGAAACAAUCUCUUCGUUGCAAACCUAAUUCGGGCAAGCGCUCCUUUACCAACGGAAGAAGCUUGUUAGUUCGUCCCAAAAAAAGACCAAUGAAUGAUACUUUCACAGUCUUCUUUCUCCCGGUGCUGUUCACUUGUAGUGGCCUUACUCUGAGGAAGAGGUCUUUAGGCAGCAGGGGUGCUGCGUAUUGCCAUUUAUAAACGACAUCUGUAGCCCCUUGCUCUAAGGUUAUUGAGACGUUGAACACAGUCACUUUAGCUGGAACCGAAACCAACUUGAGCUUCCACGAGAGAAUGACCCCGAAACUAGCUCCACCGCCUCCUCUAAUAGCCCAGAAAAGAUCUUCUCCCAUUGAUUUUCUAUCAAGGACUCUACCAUCUGCAACAACUAUCUUAGCAUCAAUAAUAUUAUCGAUGCUAAGGCCAUAUUUACGCAUCAAAGAGCCAUACCCGCCGCCACUAAAGUGACCACCAGCACCAACAGUUGGACCAACCCCAGCAGGAAACCCUAGAACGUUGCUUUUCUCAGCAAUUUUGUAAUAAACUUGGCCAAGGGUAGCUCCGGACUGAACCCAAGCGGUCUUCUCCGCAACAUUAACAUUAAUGGAUUGGAGUUGAAACAUGUCAAGAAUGAUAAAGGGUACAUGGGACACGUACGAUAGACCCUCGUAAUCAUGGCCACCACUUCGGAUUCUGAUUUGCAAUCCUUGCUGUUUUGCACAUAGAACAGUUGCUUGAACAUGGUACUCGUGCUUGGCUGCUACAAUGGCCAAAGGUUUUGGAGUUGUGGAUGUAGAAAAUCUGCGGUUUUUAAUACGGUCCGACAGAACAGAUUGAAACGAGGUGUUUUGAGGGGUGUAAAUGCCUGCAUGGAUUGAGCUGGUAGACUGAGAUUGUUUAGAAAGGCAUUGCAGAAAGUCAUCAAUAUUGACAAGUGGAUCUGAAGUUGCCCAUGAAACUGUGACGACUGAAAGGAUUGAGAGAAUGGCGAGUUGAAAUGGAGAGCUUGGGAACUUCAUUAUUGUUGAUUUCUGGCAGUGUGACAAAACAAACGACUUCGGAGUAUUUAUAAAGAAGCCAAAGCACCAAACUUUGACUCCGUUUGUGCAUGGUAAUUAAAAUAUGGGUGCUUUAGAUUUAGCCCCUUACAACUGUUGAACUCUAGACAUAAACCCACCUGUAUUAAAACAUCUAAAUCAAAAUCAAAAUUUGAAUUUGAUGUCAUGUAAGAUAAAAGAUGUCCAUACAUUUAAAUUUAUUUACAACACCAUGCCACCUAGGGGUGGGUUCAAAAAACCGAAAACCAAACCGAACCGAAACCGAAAAAACCGAACCGAACGAAAAAAUCGAACCGAAUUGAAAAAACCGAACCGAAACGAAUUCUUUUGGUUCGGUUAGGUUUUAGUGAUCUAGAAACCGAACCGAACCGAAUUAAUUAAAUUAAUUUUUUUAUUUAAUUAUUUGUUUUGGGUAUUAUUUUCUAAACCCAAUUUGUAAGUUAAAAUGUGCUAAACCCAAUGUAUUGCCAAACUUUAAGCUCAAAAUAUUUAAAAAAAUGCCUAUAAAAACUCUAAACCCUAACCUAUUAUUUCUCCCCUAUAUAAGGUUCCGGAACUAAACCUCCUCCUGAAGUAUCUACAUCCAUCUCCAUAGCACUGUCUACUUCUGCCCCGGCUUUCUUUUCCAAAUCUACUCUCAUAUAACAUGUAACAAAAUCCAUAAACAUUUAUUUCGGGUAGAUUACUUGGGUAAUUUGUGAUGGAAAAGAAUCCAACACACACUAAAUAAAUCUACACACGCAUUACUUUUACUAAUUAAGUUGUCAACAUGCAGUUACAAGCAAACAACCCUGAUCUUUGAACAACAUCAUACAAUUUAACUUUUCUAAGUCAUUUGUACGAUUUUUGUGCUGUGAGGUUGUUAGUUUGGACUUUGGAAUACUUGAUUGAUGAUUUUAGUUCAACUUUAAAUGUUUAUUUUCAUUGUCUUUGAUUUUAGUAAGAAUGCUUAUGUUAUGAUUGUGUUGCAUAUGUUAAAAUUUAAAAUUUGAAUGUUUUUCAUUUUUUGAAAAAAACAAAACAAAAACAGAAACCGAACCGAAACCAAACAGGAAAAAACCGAACCGGAAAAAAACCGAACAAAAAAAAUGAACCGAACCGAAAUUUCAGUUUCGUUUCAAUUUUGGCAAAAAACCAAACCGAUUUAAACCGAACCCACCCCUAAUGCCACCAACAUUAAUAUGACUAUUACGGUUUUUUUUUUGUAGACUUUUAAUUUAUUGUCUUUGUUUGUCAACAACAUUCAAUUAGUUCAAGUUUUUUUUGCUUUUAAUUUAAAAAAAUAAGGAAGUUCUUUUCUUCUUUUAUGUGAAAUCGCCUAAUCCAAAUCUAAUUAGUUCAAUAUACAUUCUAUUGAAAAAGUAGAUACAUUAACUUGUGAAUUUUUUUUUAAAAAAAAAAGGUAAAAAUAAACUAGUAGAUACAUUGUUUUUUUGCAUAUAUGGGUUUGUUAUUAUGUAGGUAAAUUAUUUUUCAUGUAUUUUACAUACACUGGGUAUAUUAUUUUUCUUUUUUUAAGCAAUCUAACAUUUAAAAUUUUUAAUAGUGGGUGCACUGUUUGAAUCAAAUGUUUUUUUUUUUGUAGGGAAAUUAUUUUGCAUGAAUUUUACAUAUAUCAGGCAUUUAUAUAUGUGUGUGUGUGAGAGAGAGAGAGAGAGAGAGAGGGAAAUAAUUUACCUACAUUAAUAUGUAAAAUAUAAUUUUAUUGACUUAAUUAAGCAUGUAUAAUAACAUAUAUUAGACCUGUUUUAUGUUAUUAUAUAUUAGGCAAUGAAUUUAUAACAUUAUUGUUUUUUUUUUGGUAAAAUCAUUAAUUCUCUCUUAUCAUCCAUCUGCAUGGCAUUAAUUAUAUAUCAAACAUUCAAAUAGGGUUUAUAAAAAAAUAAAAAUAUUCAAAUAGGGGUAUUUUAGGCAUCCGAAUUUUUUUAAUUUGUGAAGUCAAACAUAAUUAAUGAAUUUGCUGAUAUGAAAUCUAGUCAAUGGUUUUAUUCAAGAAAAAAACUUAUCUCAGGUUUUAUGUAGAGAAAAUUAAAAUUUUAGAGCUAAAGUCAUAUUUUCAGUUAAAAUAUCAAUCAAAUUUCAUUGAGCGAAGGAGUUGAUGUGUGGCGGAGAAUUCAGGUUUAUCUGUUACUCGUUUGUUGAGGGAAUCUAACUUUUAAUCGAAUAAUACCAGAGGGUACGGGCAAUUUCGGUUUCGCCAUAAAUUAUUUGUCUUCUACACAAACACAAAGAGCAUGAAUGAAUGUUAUGGAAGGAGACGCAAGUGUCAGUAUUUAGGCCCAGUAUUUAAGUCGUGGGUCAACGCGGAUUUGAAAAAUGGUGCACGUUUUUGAUGCGAUGAUGCGAAUCAAGCAUACAUACAAGUAUAUCCCACCCAAAAAAUAAAAGCGUAUGGUCCCGGCCAAAAUAACCUUCUCUCUUUUUUUUAAUCUAUAUGUACCUUGAGAGUUGGAUCAUAUAUAGUUAAUAAGAUUAUAAACUAGUACAAGAUUUUAAUGAAACUUCGUUUUUUAUUUUUUAUUUUUAUUUUUUUAUCUGAGUGUCGUAACAGAGGGCCGUGAAAUUAUUAUUCGUUUCAUUUUAGUUUCAUAGUUUGGUAAAAUAUGGGAUUCAAUUAUGUUUUAUGAAGAGAAGAAUCAUAAAUAGAAAAGCGUCUAUGGCAAUCAGUAAAGGAUAAGUUGGGCACGAGAGAUUUUUCAGUGUGACCGGUACACGGAGUGGUAUACCACGUGUUACUACACAAAUGAUUGGAUAUGUGUGAUAAAAAGUUAACUUAAAAAAUAAAAUUUCCCACCACAUAUAUAAAAACACGUGAUGUACCAUCUGUGUUCCGAUCACAAUGAAAAAAUUCUCGUUGGGCACAAGUAGGGGUGGGCACUUGGAACCGAAAACUGAAACCGAAACACGAAUUGAAUCGAAGAGCACCAAACGGUUUGGUUUUGUGGUUUUGAAAAGGUUUCGGUUUCGAAACCAAACCGCGGCAAAGAAAACAGUUUGGUUUCAAUUUUUGGUUUUCGAAAUCGAAACCGAAAUUGAAACCGCAUGUUAUGUUUUCAACUAGGUUACUGGACUAUCAUCCAAUUUUUCACUUCGAGUCCUGAAGGCUGAAACUCAUCUUCAUCUCUCUCAAAAGUCAAAACCCAUCUCCAUCACUUUCACAGUCGACAUUAGUGCCCUAAACUCAUUAUGUGCGACAUGGCUGCUUGCAUCUCUGCGACCUCACCGCUUGCAUCCUCAGAUCCCAUUCAUUUGGGAGCCCUGUAUUCUGCAAAUCAAAAGCUUUGCAAAACAAACUUGACAAAUCAUUCACCUGCUCUUUGUCACAUCCCGGCCCGGGAUAGAUCACUUCCCGGGCCCGCUCCACCACCGUAGCAUGAUAUUGUCCGAUUUGGGCUCCGACCACGCCCUCACGGUUUUGUUUCUGGGAACUCACGAGCAACUUCCCAGUGGGUCACACAUCAUGGGAGUGCUCUAGCCCCCUUCUCGCUUAACUUCAGAGUUCCUACGGAACCCGAAGCCAGUGAGCUCCCAAAAAGCCUCGUGCUAGGUAGGAAUGGGAAUAUACAUUUAAGGAUCGCUCCCCUGGGCGAUGUGGGAUGUCACACUCUUCGUUCCAGCUAAUAUGGUAAGAACUUGGAACUUGUAUUAGUAAGUUUAGUUAAUAAUUUGUAAUUAAAUUAAUUUUAUAGUUAGGGUUCGUUUGAAUCAAAGAUUCAAAAAGGGAACUGGGAGCACUUUCUUCGAGUAUUCUGCAUACCACAUUAUAUAUUGAUAGCAAAAUCAAGAAUUUUCAUUAAUGCAGUUUUUCUUACUCAUAGGACAAUGAAAACUCUGAAGUUAAGCAACUUAUUCAACUCAAGAACUUUUUCCUCUCUUUCUUUCUUGUUUUGUAAAUCGUCUAUUAUUGAUUUUCUAUUUUCAUUGUUCUUUUGUUCUUUCUUGUUUUGGAGCAUUGUUGCGUAUGAGUUCUUUUGUUAUGUUUUCAUUGAUUUUUUGUUUUGUUGUUCUCUAGUCAGUAGUCAGGUGUAGUUCUAAGUUGUAGCAGAAAACUGGUGGAUUAAAUUUAAAGUCAUUUUAUGCAAGAGGCUUGAAAGUCGUCUUUCAAUUAAUGGUUAAAUUCCACAUGCCAAUCUAACAAAACAAACUCAUUAAUAUCAUGGCAUUGAAAUUCAAAGUUAGGACAUUACUUUAUUAAUUACUAUUAAUAUUAGGGUACCAAAUUGACAGGUUAAAGUUGAACUGAACUGCCCCAACUAGGGUUGAAAUAAAAUGGCAUAAUUACAUAUGGUCAGAGAGGUUUUCUUUAAUGCUUGUGUUGUGUGUUGUAGAUUAUGUGCAUUCCAUUCCUUUAAGAUAAUGAGCAUUUCGUAUUUUAUUUCAAUCAAGAUAUGAAGAAUUGCAGCAAGCAUAGUGGGAUUAGUCACUCUUCUACGGGGGACUCCCCUGAGAAGCCAGAGGACGAGGCAAUAGAAAUUGACUUGAAAAAUGAAAUAGAUGUUGAAGGUGACCCUGAAAAUGACGGCGAAGAAUUUGAGGGCGAAGAUGAAAAAGUAAGUAACUUUGAUUCAAGAAAACGUAGUUGGGUUUGGGAUCAUUUUACAACAUAUUGUGUGACGAAAAAACAGUCGAAAAUUAAUGAAAAGGGGGAGAAAUAUUUGGCCGAAGUAAAACGUAGGAGAGCUAAAUGUAAUUAUUGCCCAAAACAGAGCAGUGUGGGUGACUAUGCAGCUGAAGCGAGAGUUAAUGGCACCACAAGCAUGAGAUACCACAUUGAAAGAUAUUGUAAAUUUUACCAAGGGAAUAGAAGUAAAAAGCAAAAUAUAUUGCGUGCCCUUUAUGAUGAAUAUGCUCCCAAUGUUGAAGGUGGAAAAUAUAUGAAGAAAUCGGAAAAUUUACAAUCACAACCUUCUUCUACCUCAUCUAAUGUGGCUAUGACGGAAGAUGAUCUAAUUGAUGAAUUGAUGCAUUUUGUUGAAGAUAGUGAUGAUAAAGUGGUGGGAGAUGAGGUGGAUUCUUUGUUUGAUCCUUUGGUACAAAUUACAAAAGAGGAGUCCACAAAGCAUUUUAACAUUCUCCUAUGGUGGAAGGUGAAUGGUAACAAGUAUCCUAUCUUGGCCGCAAUUGCAAAAGAUAUUUUUGCAAUUCAAGUUUUGAUCGUGGCAUCGGAGAGUGCUUUUAGCAUUGGUGGUCAAGUGAUUUCGGAUUUUAGGAGUUCUUUAACUCCUAAAUUGGUGGAAGCCUUGAUAUGCAUGCAAAAUUGGUUGAAGGGCGAUAAUAUUAUUACUUUGGAGGAUGAUGCACUUUCAAUUGACCAUAUUGAGUUCUAUGAAAGUAUUGAAUCAGGUAAGUAUAUCAUUUGAAGUAAAAGAACUUUCUCGUUUUCUUUUUUCAACUAAACAUUAAUUAUAUUUUUUAUGUUUUGUAUUGUGUAGAGUUGGCCAAAUCAGCUUCAAGCAUUGCCUCUCUUGAUCCACAACCACAACAAGCUCCAAAGCAAUCUCAAUGUUCUAAUUCACAAAAGCCUCCCAUUUUGCGUUUACAAGGUGCAAGGCCUUCACAAGCUCAAAGGCCUCCUAAACCUUCAAAGAAUAAGUGUCCAAAAGGAAAAGGAAAGACAAAGGUUUGAAACUUGAACGAUGCAAUGUAAGUUGAAAACCAAGACCUUGUUGAAUUCCAUGAACCAUUUAUUUAUUUUUUGUUGUAUUAAUGCCAUAAGGCAUUUUGACAUUGAACUUUGUUUGAAACAUUGAAGUUUGAACUUUAGUUGUAUUAUGGCAAACUUAACUUUUCAAUUGGGUUGUAGUAAAGUAUUGUGAUUGGUGAUCAAGUUGAAUUUUAGUAGAUGUGAUGCGUAAGGAUUUAAAGUUUAAACCCAUUGAUGCAUUGGAUGUUGUCUCAAUUUUAGUAGUUGUCAUUUGUUGCAGUUUUGGUACAAGUUUGGUACAUGUUAGUUGCUUUUUUUGCUGCAGUUUUGCUACAGUAUUAGACGAUAUGGGGUGACUGAUGCUACAUAUGACUGAUGCCGACUAAUGUUGCUUACUGAUGCUGCAUAUGACGGUGCAUAUGGAUAUUACACGAUAUAAGGUGACUGAUGCUGCAGUAUUAGACGAUAUGGGAUGAUUGAUGCUGCAUACAACUGAUGCUACAUAAUGAUGUUGCAUACGACUGAUGCUGCAUAUAGAUAUUAGACGAUAUGGAGUGACUGAUGCUGCCAAAUUUUAUGUUUCUUUCCUCUUUCCAUGGGAUUCUCAAUUAAGUCUAAUCCCUUAAUUUGAAGAAGAUUGACAUCUAGAUGUUGCCAAAGUUUAUGUUUCCUCUUUUUUUUUUUUUUUUUUUGCAGUUUUGCCACUAUUUGUUGCUGCAUUGUUGUUGCUGUUUUUGCUGCAUAUUCAUUAAUUAAUAUAUGAGGAAAAUAAGACCGCCUUUAAAUUGUACAUUUUUUUCUCAAAAACCAAACCGAAACCGUUUGAAACCGCACCGAAUUGAACCAAACGGUUUAAUUUCAUUUCGAUUUUAGCUUCAAAACCGCACCGAACCACACCGUAAAAAGUUUCGAUUUUGGUUGCGGUUUCACUUGAAACUACACCGAACCGCACCGUGCCCAUCCCUAGGCACAAGCAGGAAAAGAGUCGAGCCAAGUACAAUUCGAUUAUUUGUGAUGACCUAAAUUAGCUAAAGGCAUCAGCGGAAAUUUUGGUUUCUCUAAAUGCUUGGACAUUUAGGUUGACUUGCCCUCAAUUUAACAAAUUCAUCUCCACCAGUAAAGAAAAGGGCAAUUGUAUAAAGGGCAGCAGCCUGUCGGACUGCCCUUGCAAUAAUUGCUGUGCCUUGAGCCAGCCAUGAUGCCAUCAUACUGCAGAAAGUGGGCCCCACGUGGACGCCACCGAGCCAUUGGGCUGAAUUUCCAGUCUGGCAACUGUUGGAAAUUCCAACUGUCUUCUCGUUUGGAUCCGGAGAGAUCCUUUUCCGUUUGUUAUUUACCAAUCAAAGAUGAUCUUGUUUGCUUUCCCGUCACGUCUUGUAGUGCUAAUUAGGGUAUCUUGUAUGCUUUUGCUUUUCUUUUGUUUUUUCGCAACUUUGGAAAUGAGUACAAAAACAUUCAACUUCGGAUAAUAUGUUUUUAAAGAUUUUAGAUUUGUACGUUUUGUGGGGUUUGUGAUACUUCCAGAAACUUUGUAUGACUUUGCUGUGUUCUACAGUGAUCUCUCUAUAGGAGAGUAUUCUUAAGUGUGAUUUUGGUAUAGAUAUGUCGUGUUACACCUAUUUUUGAAGAAUUUAUCAUUACCCAAAAUUUACUAGCAUUCUUAAAUGUGAUUUUGGUAUAGAUAUGUCGUGUUACACCUAUUUUUUGCAAAUUUGGCAUUACACAAAAUUUUCUCUUAGGCAUCAUCUUUUAGACAAUGCCUAUCUCACUUCACAAUGGAGACUUUUGUUUUUCACUCUUAGAUUUCAGAAUUUACAAAUUUGAGUAAGUGCCGCCGAUGCCUUCUCAUUUUUAGACUUCAGUAUUUAUAAAUUUGACACCUAAACUAUUAACACCAUCAAAUUUUGUUUUUUUCCGACGGUGACAAUGCAAUUUGGUGGCCGAAUUAGGCUUUUAUCUAUUUGUUGGUUGUGUAUGCGUAAUUAUGUUUAGGUCAUGUUAAAGUGUUGGAAUUCGUUUAAAGGGUUAUGUUGAAACUGGCCAUGGAAAAGUUAUACUCAUUUUUUUAACAUGUUUGUUCUUCGUUGCAAUGUUUAUUAAUUGUCAUUUGGUGGAGUGGAUAUACGUUUUGUUUUUUCAAUUUAUGUUGCUUAGUCGUUACCUAAUCUUGUCACUUAUUGAAGACAAAAUCUUUAGAUGGUUUUUUCUUUGUCAAGCAAAUCUUUUGGAAAGUUGCACUUUUCGUGUUAGCUAAUUAAUCAAAGAUAUAAAUUUUGUUCGACGACAGUACCUCUAAAAGAAAGUAACAUAAAAAUUUAGUUUCGUAGAGAUAACAUUGAUUACAUCAUAUUUCAUUUUGUUAUAUAAAAAUCCAUGUAUACUGUUAUUAUCCGUGACACCAUUAUUUUCACACAACUUUUGACACAUGGUUUUUAUAGGAUCUACUUCGUAAUGUAUUUCAAUGAUCUGAGUCAUCUAUCUUUUAGGUCUUCCUUCAAGAUCAUGUCUACCAAAAAUACCCAAAUCUGAAACCAUGACCAUUGGAUUAAGGGUUUAUGUUUCUUUGUAGAACUAUAUUUGUCUAUUUUCUUCACUAUAAAGGAAUGUUUUAAUGAUUUUAAAUUUGUAUAAUUGUUUACAAAAAUGAUCUAUAAAUGACUUUCUAAAAGAUAAACGAUUCAUAUAUGAAAACAAAAUAAUGUCACAAAUCUGUAUAUAAUAUUACAAGGUUGACUGACUCUUUUCAAAAACUGGUAAACCAGUAGGUUAGCUGGGACUUAAUAAUUGGUGUUAUAUUUAUAUAUUAUUGCUCAAUUAAUGGUCCAUACAUUUGGUUGCGUACACUCCAUAUGUAUUCUCGUUGGAUCCUUUUUGUGAUGAUCUUAGGAAUCUGUGAAUUAUGUUCAUUUAUUAUAUAUCGUGCGGUCAUAAAUUAUUUAAAUAUUUUUAUUUAAAAUUAAAUAUAAACAAUACUUAAUAAAAAUUGAUUGCAUAAUGUACGAUAAUAGACACCAUUCAUGGAUCUAUAGGAUCUUCAUCAAAAGGAUCCGGAGAGGAUCUGUUGGGCGUACACUGCCAUGGCCAUUAUUGAGUUUGAAUUCAGAUAUAAAGGCUUGGACAUAAAACUCACAUAUAUCAUCACACAUGAAUUAUAUUAGUGGAUAUAAUUAUGUGAGAACAAGCAUGUGGUGUAUACAUGGAUGACCAUACGUAUUCCAAACCAUCUAAAAUAAGUAACUCGAAUCCUUGCAAAUCAAGAAAAACCCAAAUGGGAAACCAAUAAUGUGUCAAAACCAAAAGCAACUAGGAAUACAAUAAUUUCUCGAGGAUAAUGUUAGGAAGAUAAUUUUUAAGCUGAAUUUACAAAGCAAAUAAUGUGUCGUCAAUAAAAAAAAUAAGCACGUUAAUCAAUAUUAAGUAAUAAUCCAAUUAUCAACAUCCAUAUCAUUUGGUUUACAAAAUUUAGUUUAAAAUUUUAAUCUCUCAAGCAUUACCUUUUUCUCAAACUUUCAUGAAUUGAGUCUGUAACAUCCCGGUCCGGGCCCCCACCACAUCCCGGGCUCGACUCCGACGUAGCACGAUAUUGUCCGCUUUGGGCCCCGAUCACGCUCCCACAUUCUCAGUGGGUCACCUAUCAUGGGAUUGCUCUCGUGCGAACUUGCUUAACUUCGGACUUCUGAUGGAACUCGAAGUCAGUAAGCUCCCAAAAAGGCCUCGUGCUAGGUAGAGAUGAGAAUAUACAUAUAAGGCUUAUAGGAUCCACUCCUAUGGGCAAUGUGGGAUGUUACAAUCCACCCUCCUUAGGGGUCUAACGUCCUCAUCAAGGGAUUGGUUCGGACACCAAAUUGUCACAUCCCGACCUGGGCCCCCACCACAUCCCGGGCUCGACUCUGCCGUAGCACGAUAUUGUCUGCUUUGAGCCCCGACCACGCCCUCACGGUUUUUUUUUUUAGAACUCACGAGCAACUUCCCAGUGGGUCACCCAUCAUGGGAUUGCUCUCGCGAACUCGCUUAACUUCGGAGUUUCGAUAGAACUCAAAGCCAGUGAGCCCCAAAAGGUCUUGUGCUAGGUAGAGAUAGGAAUAUACAUAUAAGGCUUACAUGAUCCACUCCUCUAUAUGAUGUGGGAUGUUACAGAGUCAGACUCAACUAGACCUGGAUAUACACACACAUGUAUAUAUGCAUAACUUGGUCUCAUUACGUGUGUGGAAUAUGUCUUUUGAAUACAAUGAUAUUCAAAGUUAUUUUGACAAUGUUACGUAAAUGACUAGAUUUGAGAACGAGAAUGACCGGACGUCCUGACUCCACAAAGAUAAGUAACUCAAAUCCUUGCACAUCAAGAAAAACCUAGAUUGGAAAGAAAUAAUGUGUCCAGAACGAAAAGAAACAAGGAAGCAUAAUAUUUCUCAAAAUAUUGAUCAACUGAGCCGGACUCAGCCUAACAUGUUUCUUGAAUGUAUAGUGGAUUGCUAUUUGGCUAGGAAAAGAUUGAAAGGGAGUUGCUACAAGACACGUUUGUGUACAUUAUUUGCUACAAGACACGUUUGUGUACAUUAUACACAUCACAUUGUUUAUAAAUUUGAUCUAAAAAGUUGGUUUACCUAGUAUUACUCUUUGAUAAUAUUUGUUCUCAUUACUUGUGUGUAAAGGGAACUGCUAAUUUGUUUUUUGGAUACAAUGAAACCGAAUUAAUUCUAUUCUCUAACAAUAUUAUGCACUACCAAAGUUGAACUAAACAGAGUUAUAGAGACACGGUACUCAUGAAGGUAGAAGAGAAUGAAUUAAAGUAGUAUUCUUCCUUAUAUAUAGAGGAUUAAGUGUUAUUUUCCUUCAUUAUUAGAGGUAGUUUUAUUUGUAUAUGUUAGUUAUUAUUAGAUGCAUUUAUUGUUAAUUUUCGCCUUUAAAUUCCAGGAGGAGCGAAUAAGAUAUUUGUCCCUAAAACUAUUGUGGCUAUUACUAUAUCUGAACCUAAUAAUAGCAAUUUUCGCCCCUAUUGCUGUUCCUGCCAUGCUGACAGUUAAAACAAUAUAGUCAUACAAUUAAGCCCCUAUUGUAGUUAACUAUUAUAAUCAUUUAAAUUUAAUUCCCUUGUAAAUUAGAUUAAGGAACAAUUACACAUACAUCCAAAUUAUAAGACUAUAUUUUGGAGAAGGACAAAUUUUUUUAUUGAUCUUAAAGAGGGACAAAACUUAUCCAUGUCGCAUAAUGUCACGACUGAUUGGUUUUUUAAUUGUUUUUACAUUUAUAAUUUUACCCUUGUAUAAUUGAGAGAUGAGUCUAUCUCUUCGUUAGCACUAGUUCUCUCUCUCUCUCUCCUUCCUUUUCUUUGUGAUUUUCUCUCUAUGUUCCUUCUCUUCUUACCCGUCUCUCUCUUUCUUUCUCCACGUUCUUCCUACCUUUCUCUCUCUUUUUCUCACUCUCCUUGUCCGUCCUUAUUCUUCUCUCUUAUUUCUUCUUCCCUCCUCUCCUUCUUCUUGUUCCUAUUUUUCCUUAGACUCAUAAGUGGUUUCUUUUCUAAGAACGAUUAGGAUUUUUUUUUAUUCUCUUUUUUUUUUUUAAAAAAAAUUGAUUUUUAAGCUUUGAUUGAUUUGGAUGCAUGAAUUUUGAAACUGAUAUUGCAGAAAUGCAAGAAUUUUUUAAACUAAUCUUGCAGAAAUGUUGAAAAUUUGAAACUGAUCUUGCAGGAGUACUAAAAAAAUUGAAACUAAUCUUGUGAAAGUGCUGAAAUUUUGAAACUAAUGUUGUGAAGUGCUAAAAUUUUUGAAAGUAAUAUUGCAGAAAUACUGAAAAUUUAUAACUAUCUUACAGAAGUGCUGGAAUUUUGAAACAAUAAGUGCUAAAAACUUUGAAACUAAUAUUGCAGAAGUAUUGAAAUUUUGAAACUGAUCUUGUAAAAGUGCAGAAAAUUUUGAAACUGAUUUUACAAAAAUGAAGAAAAUUUUGCAACUGAUGGUGCAGAAGUGUUGGACUUUAAAAAUGAUCAUGCAUAAGUAAUAAAAAUUUUGAAACAUUUUUUUUUAUCAAGGUAAAAUUUUUGAAACUAAUGCACAUAGUACAAAGCUUGGAAGAAAAAGAACACAGCCAUACUACUAAAAAAUGUAUGAGAAAUUCAAUGUCAAAUUGUAGUCUGACCUAUCUAUACUCUAAAACUAUUAAGAUUUCACAAAUCACAAAAGGAGCACUAAACACCUGCAUAACCUGGCAAGUAUUCAGUUUGAUCACGAAUCAUAAUGAUAUUUUCACAAACUUAACCACUUGUACAACUCGACAUGUGUUGGAUUUUAUUACAAAAAGUAUCGUGCAAUUAAGAGUGAAACCAUUCAAUAUGAUUGCAAUUUAUUCUAUCAAGUUUUGAAUGUGGAAUUACAGUCUUCAACAAAAACCGGUAUAUUUGUGACAUGUCGUUCCCUUUAUUUUGAAAAAGUUUAAAAUACUUUUUAUUUUAUUUUAAGAAAAACACAAUAUUUCAUUCAUUGAUAAAGGCCUUUACAAAUAUUUAUCAUGAAGACCUCGGUCCCAAAAGAGUCCUUGCAAACUAGAUAUAAAAAUACUACAAUAAAGCAUCACUAAUCGCAAAGUAAUGAGUAUACUUCAAGCACUUGUCCAAACUCAUCGAAAACUGCACGAUUACACAAAUCAAUAAAACCGUUAAUUUUCGUGUUACACGAAGAUUAUGUGAGAACAAAAUCUCAAACCAUAAAUUGGAACAUGGACUACGAUGCCAAUGGGUCAAUCACAUCAUCUAACCACCCCCACAAUCCCUGAACACCAUAUGAAGUAAAUCCAGCAAAUCAAACAUCUCCAUCCUUUACACUUAGAUCCAAAAGAGGUAGCACACCCAAAAAAAAAAAUUUAAAUGAAGCAACUCUCCUAUAGAGAGAAAUCAAACUAGCAAACUCAAAUCAAACCAAAGUCCAAGACAAUUCUUGAAAAUUAUUAAAUAUAAACAAAAUAAAAGGAUAAAAUCAUGUCGCCGCACCGCAUCCUCUAGACAUCCGAAAGUCAUAUCACUACACCGGCUAAACCCAAGUGUCGUAGUGACUAAACUUGAUCCCUAUGCAAUUAGGCAUCUUCCAUGGUGACUAAAGUGUUUCACAGUGACAAUUCAACAUCAAAAUAGAAUAAACGGAAAUUGAGAAGGAAGAGACCAAGAAUGAUUUUCAAGCCGAUUGCCCCAACCCCCAAAGCCAAGGGCAGGUCUCGAUGGCAGAUGAAUUUUCCUGGGUUUUCCGGCUACGGUUUUUCGUCAGAUUUGUUAACAAUGUUAUACAAUGAAUUAUUUAAUAUCAUCCUAAACAAAACUUUACGGUACAAAUAAGUUUAAAAUACUUAAAUCCGUUUUCUUUCUGCAUUCUUCAACGUUGAAUUAAUAAUGACAUCGCAAGUCUCAAGCAAUUAAUUUUUGCAAGCUCACGACUAAUUAAUCUGAUUUUGUUCUUUUAAGUAAAGGUUAAUUAAUAGGACCAAUUAAUUGAUUUUCAAUGCGAAAAAAAGAAGAAAAAUAGCUAGAUGUUGCAACUGAUCGCAAAUCGUUAAACAAUAAAUUUGACAUCAAGACAACUUAACCAAAUGACUUUCGUUAGGAGGAUUGCUGAAGUUCUCUUUUGACUGCAGAGCUUUUGCUGUUGUACAACAUUGAGGGACACAAAUGUCUCUGGCUGUUGUACAACAUUGAGGAACACAAAUGUCUCUGCGACUAAUUAGCCACAUUGCUAUAUUUAUAUCAUCUUUGCCACACAAAAAUUACACUAUUGCUAACUCACUUCUCUUAUCUUGUACAUAAUUACAAAUGAGUCCAAGGUAUAUUUCCACGACUCACUUGUAUUAAAAAGUGUGUCAACAAUAAUAUCAAUUUAGUGUGCCUAAAUAUAAUUACCGAUACCAUAUCGACUUGCAACAUUUCAAUUUACAAAUUAAUUUAAACAGAGUAACAACAUGUAUUAUUUUUUUCUUCUAGAGCAACAACUAGUGUCUAUUUAAGAACUUGCAACGUUCUAAAUUAAUUGUUUUGAGAAAAAGAAACAGUUUUUAGGCAGGAAUAUUAUUUGUUAUUAUUACUUCUUUGCAACAUACUCUGUAAUUAAUUGGUCAUAAACAUUACGUUUUCUCAUCAUAAGGAAAAAAAAACAUUAUGCUUUCAAGAACUCAAGAAGAAAAUACCGCAGUAGAAAAAAUUGCAAGAUAAUGAAGGGACAAAGCUCUGCAACAAUACCCUUCAUUUUCCCAUUCCUUUUGCUCUUUAGUAGCACUGUUUAUUGUCUCACUCCUUUCUGUGCAUCUAUUGAUCCACCAAUAAAGGAUAUCCCUGAUCUCAAAUACACCCCCAUACCGCUUCCGAAACAUUCUCAACAAAUUCUCAAUGACUUCCUCGAAUGCCUUGCGGUAAAAUUUCAGUCCACCAACCACCCUAUCAUGGAAGCCAUUUACACCCCACAAAAUACCUCAUUUCACCAAGUUUUGCUGGCACACACUAAAAACCGCAGAUACACAACGCUUGAUACUCCAAAACCUUUGGCUAUUGUAGCAGCCAAGCACGAACGCCAUGUGCAAGCAACCGUAAUUUGCGCAAAACAACAUGGGUUGCAGAUUAGAAUCCGAAGUGGUGGCCAUGAUUAUGAAGGUCUAUCAUACGUAUCGGAUGUACCCUUUGUCAUUCUUGACAUGUUCAAUCUUCGAUCCAUUGAUGUUAAUGUGACGGAAGGGAGGGUUUGGGUUCAGUCAGGGGCUACAAUUGGUGAACUUUAUUAUGAAGUUGGAAAGAAAAGUAGGGUUCAUGGGUUUGCAGCUGGAUCUUGUCCAAGUGUCGGUAUUGGUGGUCACUUUAGUGGUGGUGGGUAUGGUCCUUUGUUGAGAAAAUAUGGGCUUACAGUGGAUAAUAUUGAAGAUGCUAGACUAGUUAAUGUGAAUGGUGAAAUCCUUGAUCGAAUGUCAAUGGGAGAAGAUCUAUUUUGGGCCAUUAGAGGAGGUGGUGGAGCAAGCUUUGGAGUCAUUCUUUCGUGGAAGAUCAAAUUGCUUCCAGUUCCAGCCCAAGUGACUGUGUUUCAGGUAGAAAGGACGCUGGAACAAGGCGCUAAGGAUGUGGUUCAUCGAUGGCAAUACGUUGCACCUAAGCUCCCUGAAGACCUCUUCAUUAGAACAGCAAUAAAAACCAAGAAUGGCUCCCAAGAGGGCACGAAGGCUGCGGUAGCAAUAUUCUCUUGUCAAUUUCUGGGACGAGCAGACAAGCUUCUUCAAUUGAUGAAUGAAAGUUUCCCUGAGUUGGGUUUACAGCAAAAAGACUGCUUUGAAAUGAGUUGGGAAGAAUCCAUGAUAUUCUUGGCUGGUUGCCCAGUUGGAACUCCCCUAGAAGUUCUACUUUCUAGGCCAAAAUUGCCAGUAAUUUUCUUCAAAAGUAAGUCCGACUACGUGAAAAAACCAAUUCCAAAACAUGGUUGGAAAUCUUUAUGGAAAAAUCUGAUUACGAUAGAUCACUUGUUAGUGCAAUUGAACCCUUACGGCGGAAGAAUGAGUGAGAUUUCUGAAUCAGGAACUCCAUUCCCUCACAGAGCUGGAAAUCUGUUUUCAGUUCAGUACUUUAUUUCUUGGAAGGAAGAACAGAUUGAGACCAUCAAGCGGAAUAUUCAUAGGUCAAGAAAGUUGUACAAAAGUAUGGCUCCAUAUGUCUCCCAGAACCCAAGAGAGGCUUUGCAAAACUAUAGGGAUCUUGACAUAGGUGCCAAUCUGCACAACCGGACUAACUUUCGAACAGCCAGACGUUAUGGUAGCAAAUAUUUCAAGGGUAACUUUGAUAGAUUGGUACGUGUGAAAACUAUGGUAGAUCCCCAUAAUUUUUUCCACCAUGAACAAAGUAUUCCUCCCCUUUAAAAAUUACAGAGAAUCAUAAAGUCAAUUGCAUUGGUAAUGUACCAACAAACUUGUAGGUAAGGAUACAACAGGGUAAAGUGGGCAAAAAACAUACAAGCAAUUGGAGUUAUGAAAUUAAAAUUUCUUAUUAGUAUGGCGUUUCCUAUGACACAAUUGAUUAGUUCUGAGAGUUUUGAUCUCUGACAUGAUCUUGAUAGUACUAGAUUCAUUGGCUUCAAUGGAUCCUUCAUCAGUUUCAGUUUCUUGCAAUAUUUAGGAUUAGUUGUUAAUUAACUUUUGUUGAUGCACAAAACCGGAGGUCUUGGAACAACGUAAUUCCGACCGUGAAUCUGCUAGAAAGUAAAGAACACAAGGUGUAUCGUGGUUCAUCCCAAUGUUUGGGCUACGUCCACACUGAUGUUGAUAUUGUUUUACUCUGAAUGGUGAAUAUACAAGAAGGCUAGAGGCAGUGUGCUCUCUAGCCUAUUUUCUGUGUUUGCCCUCUCUGAGAUGUUUUCUCUCUUCCCAUGGCCUAAACCUUGACCUAUCCUAAUGAGGAGAGUGAUGAGUCCUUUUAUAGAAUAAGGGCUCCUCACUUAUUAUAUAUUUGCCCAUUCAUUUAUUACAUAAUUACAUUUGAGUCCCCUGAGUAUUUAUACGAGGUCUAAAUACGGAGGCCCUAAAUAUGGUACAAAUAGUAGUCCCCUAAGUCUUCAGUCAAGAGAGUCUUUUGGCUUAAGACUUGAAAUUCAGUCCAUGUGUGGGCCGAAGUAACUAGAUGUUGUCUAGAACUGAUACUCGAUAUGAAGUGGUGCUCAAUGUGAAAUGAUGCUCAACUAGAAGUAGGACAUGUUGCAAGGCUGCUCGGCUUGUGGCUUAUGUUGCAUUGGUUGGCUCUGCUUGUGGCGUUGAAGGUGAGAGAGUCCCUUUUAUAGAAUAAGGCAUCGCUCCUCAAUACAUAAAUGAUGGGCUAGAGUUGAUGCUCGCGGCAAGACGGUUGCUCAGCAGGCGGCGAUGCUCUCUAAUGAUGGUGAGGGGGUCCUUUUUAUAGAAUAAGGGCUCGCUCCUCAAUACAUAAAUGAUGGGUUAGGAGUGAUGCUCGCUGCGAUGCCGUUGUUCAGCUGGCGGCGAUGCUCUAUAAUGAAGGUGAGGAAGUCUCUUUUAUAGAAUAAAUGUUCGCUUCUCAAUACAUAAGUGGUGGGUUAUGAGUGAUGCAGGCGGCGAGGCUGUUGCUCAACUAGUGGCGAGGUUGUUGCUCAGCUGGCGGCGAUGCUCUCUAAUGAAGGUGAGGGAGUCAUUUUUAUAAAAUAAGGGUUCGCUCCUCAAUACAUAAGUGAUGGGCUAAGAGUCUUUCUUUAAUGAAGGUGAGGGAGUCCCUUUUAUAAAAUAAGGGUUCGCUCCUCAAUACAUGAAUAAUGGGUGCUCUCUAAUGAAAGUGAGGGAGUUCCUUUUAUAGAAUAAAGGUUCACUCCUCAGUAUAUAAAUAAUGGGCUAAGUCCCCCAAGUAUUUUUCAUGAGGCCCAGUUGCGGAAGCCCAAUAUAUGGUACAUAGUGUAGUCCCCCAAGUCUUCAGUCAAUAUAGUAUGUUGGCUGGAGACUUCAAAUUCAAUCUAUGUAUGGGCUGAAGUAGCGGUUGUUCAGAUGCGGUCUUUGUAUACUAUGCACUGAAGCUUUGUAGGUGAGGCUUUGAAAGUAAAGCUUUGAAGCUAGAGCUUUGUAAAUGAAGCUUUUGAAGCUGAAGCUUUUGUAAAUGAAGCUUUUGAAUGUUGCUUGACAUGAGUGAUGCUCAUAGAUGUUGACAUGAGUGAUGCUCAUGAAUGUUUAUGUAUGAUUGACAUGAGUGAUGCUCAUGUAUGAUGAUGAUUGUCAUGAGUGAUGCUCAUGUAUGAUUUUUUUGGAGUACUGGACGUACUUUUGAUCACUUAGUUGGUGAUAAUAGAGGGUGAACCUUAAGUGGAGGGAUGGAGGUUGGAGUUUGAAGUCAUAGGGCCUGACUCUUUUUGGCAUAUGGGCAUUCGCCCUCCACAUAACAUUUCAUCCCACUAGUUUGGGCUUGUCGACAGUUUGCCUUUAUUUUUAUUUUUGGCAUGCUGCCUUCUUUACACAUCAGUAUAACUAUUCAAUAAUUGCUCCAAUUUGCAGAAGACAACUUAAUAAAAUAUUCAUCAAUGACAGUGGGUAUGGGCUGUAAAGAUAAGAGUCUUAUCUUUGUGGUUGUUUUCUCUGAGUGCGAAUGGAUGAUUGAGUGUGGCAGAGGAGAGACAUGUGCAUGGUGGGAAUGAUGCUCAAUGUCUUAUCUUUGAAGAUUUGCAGGCAUGCCUUAAAACAAACACAUCCAUAGCUUUUCCAUACCGUCCACCUUCAAAUUAUGCAGCAAAUUAGUCUCUUUAAAUACACCCACUUGCUCAUUUUCUUGUAGCUUUUUCAGAAUAUUCAGAGCAUGCUCCUUUGCAAAUUUGCAUGCUUGCUUUACAGCAAACACAUCCAUAACUUUUCCAGGCUGUCGACAAAAGCCAUUUUGCAUAAUAAAGUUCUUAUCUCUAUUUUCCCCCAGACAGUGAAGAUGGCAGCAUGUGACCAGCCGUAAUCAUGCCCUCCGCCAUCUGUAGAUGACAACAGAUCAUCAAUGCCAGUCCUUCCCACCUUGGCCGAUAAGAUUUGCAUCGACACCAACAACUUGGUAUAAAUGCCUUCACUUAGUUCAAUAAUCCCAGUUGUUUACGUUGGAUCACCACCAAGAGUACUAAGAGCGUGGUUUGCAACAAAACAAGCAUAUAAUCCUUCAUCAGAUCCUAACUUUUGCUAUUGCUGCUGCUUUCAGAUUCAUCGUCUUCGAGUUUUCGUCGUAGAGCUUCAGUCUUGAUCUCAUCCAGAAGGUCGUCUGCAGCAUACAGAGCAUCUUUGAGUUCGUCGAGCCACUCCCUCAUAGCUGGGUUUUUGAACUGCUUCUCAUCUGCAUCAUCAAGAACCGAAUUAACUAAGCAGCUUAAUCUUCAACUUCUUGAGCAGUCCGCUGAUGAUCUUUUGUCUGCGGAUGAAGUCGACGAUGGGACGGGAGGCCAGCCUAUCAAAUAAGACAGAGAGAAAGGAAGAGAGAAGAACACCGCCCAUAACUUCUAUCGCCAUGGAUUUCAAUCUUCUGAUGGAUGGGAAGUUAAAAGAAAUUGGAUCGGGUGAGGGCGCGGUACCAGAACUUGCAAACCAAUAAGGCCCUACUGCGGUCGCGGCGGGAGGUGAGGAAGCAGAUGACGUUUUGCAGAACGUUCUCGAGGACUUGGUCCGAGUAGGGGACAAUAUACUCGACAGAGGUACCUACGCCAGAGCCGAAUACUCGAGAGAACUUGGCCGAGAAAGCUGAGUGUUUUUUGGUGACAAAAUUUUCUUCUUUUUUUUUGUGCACUUUCGCUUCUGUGUGUGUACAAGAAACUAGAGAGAACACAGAAGACUAGAGGGGAGAGAGAUAGAGGUGGUGAGGUUUUGGGUUUUGCAAUGACUGUGCACGUGUUUGGUUCUUGGGUUUCUGCAGAUUCACGGUGGAUAUUGUGGUGAGGUUUCACGGUGGUGAGAUGAAAAAAUGAAAAAGAACCGACAUAGUUUUUCGUGUCGUUUCCCACAGAUGGCGCCAAAUGUCACUACUACAAUAUUAGCUUUAGGUGUCGAACGAUUCUGGCGGUUAAUAAGUCAUUCUGAUGGAUAAAAGAUAUCCGACACAUAAUUUAUUUACUGUCGGAUUAAAGUUAAUUUUUGUCGGAUAUAUCCGACAUAAAUUACUAGCGGAUUUAACCGCCAUAAAAUUAUUAUAACUCUCAGUAUUUUGAAUUCUUUUUUUUUUUAAAUAUUUUUAACAUAUUCUGGCGAUUAUAACCGACAUAAAUUGACUAUUUUAUUAUUUUAAAAUGUUACAUUGAUUAAAAUAAAUAAACAAAUGGUUUAAUUUUUUUUUUCACUCACAGUCCCGUUACCUAAUCUCUGAAUGUUUUUUUUUUUUGCAAUUUUUUACACAUGCUAUCUCGGAGUAUAUACAAACAUAUUUGACUGUUGGAUCGUUGAAACUAGUUUCGUAGAAUGCAUAUCCUAUCAAAUUGAUAGAUUUAACAAACACUUAAGAGUUAAUGUUAUACUUCCAUUAAGUAUAAAAAAUUAUCCACUGGUAUAAAUAUUUUAAAUUGAAGAUCGAAUUCGUUCAAUGCAUUAUUAUAGGGUCGAGGAGUGUAGCUAUAAAAAAUCAUCAAAAUCAGAGCUAAAAUAACUGUUAAAUUAUGAUUUUUUGUUUAUAACCAUUGAACAUUUUUGUUUCGUUACCUAAUCUCUGAAUGUUUGUUUUUUACGAUUUUUUACGUAUGCAAUCUCAGAGUGUGUACAAAUAAGUUUGAUGGUUGGAUCGUUGAAAAACGUUUCGUAGAAUGCAUAUUGCAUCAAAACUAUAGAUUAAACAAACACUUAGAGUUAAUAUUAUACUUCUAUUAACUAUAAAAUAAGAUUUUGUGGUAUCCACUAAUGUAAAUAUUUUAAAUUGAAGAUCAAAUUUAUUCAUUGCAUUCUUAUAGGGUUGAGGAGUGUAGCUGUAAAAAAUCAUCAAAAUCGGAGUUAAAAUAAUAGUUAAAUUGUGAUUUUUCUUUUAUAACCGUCGAAAACUUUUGUUCCGUUACCUAAUCUCCGAAUGUUUGUUUUUUAUGAUUUUUACGUAUGCAAUCUCGGAGUGUGUGCAAAUAAGUUUGACGGUUGGAUCGUUGAAAAAAGUUUCGUAGAAUGCAUAUUGCAUCAAAACUGUAGAUUAAACAAACACUUAGAGUUAAUAUUAUAAAAUAAGAUUUUGUGGUAUCCACUAGUGCAAAUAUUUUAAAUUAAGGAUUGAAUUUAUUCAUUACAUUCUUAUAGGGUCGAUGAGUGUAUAUGUAAAAAAUUAUCAAAAUCGGAGCUAAAAUAACCAUUAAAUUGUGAUUUUUCGUUUAUAACUGUCGAAAACUUUUGCUCCGCUACGUAAUCUAUGAAUCUUUGUUUUUACAAUUUUUUACGUAUGCAAUCUUGGACUGUGUACAAAUAAGUUUGACGGUUGGAUCGUUGAAAAACGUUUCGUAAAAUGCAUAUUGCAUCAAAACGGUAGAUUAAACAAACACUUAGAGUUAAUAUUAUAAAAUAAGAUUUUGUGGUAUCCACUAGUGCAAAUAUUUUAAAUUAAGGAUUGAAUUUAUUCAUUACAUUCUUAUAGGGUCGAUGAGUGUAUCUGUAAAAAAUUAUCAAAAUCGGAGCUAAAAUAACAAUUAAAUUGUGAUUUUUCGUUUAUAACUGUCGAAAACUUUUGCUCCGCUACGUAAUCUAUGAAUCUUUGUUUUUACAAUUUUUUACGUAUGCAAUCUUGGAAUGUGUACAAAUAUGUUUGACGGUUGGAUCGUUGAAAAACGUUUCGUAGAAUGUAUAUUGCGUCAAAACGGUAGAUUAAACAAACACUUAGAGUUAAUAUUAUACUAUUAUUAAGUAUAAAAUAAGAUUUUGUGGUAUCCACUAGUGCAAAUAUUUUAAAUUAAAGAUCGAAUUUAUUCAUUACAUUCUUAUAGGCUCGAGGAGUGUAUCUGUAAAAAAUCAUCAAAAUCGGACCUAAAAUAGCCGUUAAAUUGUGAUUUUUCAUUUAUAACUGUCGAAAAUAUUUGCUCCGUUACAUAAUCUUUGAAUCUUUGUUUUUUACGAUUUUUUACGUAUGCAAUCUCGGGCUGUGUACAAAUAAGUUUGACGGUUGGAUCGUUGAAAAAAGUUUCGUAGAAUGCAUAUUGCGUCAAACGGUAGAUUAAACAAAUACUUAGAAUUAAUAUUUUACUAUUAUUAAGUAUAAAACAAGAUUUUGUGGUAUCCUCUAGUACAAAUAGUUUAAAUUAAAGAUCGAAUUUAUUCAUUACAUUCUUAUAGGGUUGAGGAGUGUAGCUGUAAAAAAUCAUCAAAAUCGGAGCUAAAAUAACCGUUAAAUUGUGAUUUUUCGUUUGACCGUCGAAAACUUUUGCUCCGUUACGUAAUCUCUGAAUUUUUUUUUUACGAUUUUUUACGUAUGCAAUCUCGGACUGUGUACAAAUAAGUUUGAUGGUUGGAUCGUUGAAAAAAGUUUCGUAUAAUGCAUAUUGCGUCAAAACGAUAGAUUAAACAAAAACUUAGAGUUAAUAUUAUACUUCUAUUAAGUAUAAAAUAAGAUUUUGUGGUAUCUACUAGUGUAAAUAUUUUAAAUUAAAGAUCGAAUUUAUUCAUUACAUUCUUUUAGGGUCGAGGAGUGUAUCUGUAAAAAAUCAUCAAAAUCGAAGCUAAAAUAACCGUUAAAUUGUGAUUUUUCGUUUAUAACUGUCGAAAACUUUUGCUCCGUUACAUAAUCUCUGAAUCUUUUUUUUUUUAUGAUUUUUUACGUAUACAAUCUCGGAUUAUGUACAAAUAAAUUUGACGGUUGGAUCGUUGAAAAAAGUUUCGUAGAAUGCAUAUUGCGUCAAAACGGUAGAUUAAACAAACACUUAAAGUUAAUAUUAUACUAUUAUUAAGUAUAAAAUAAGAUUUUAUGGUAUCCACUAGUGCAAAUAUUUUAAAUUAAAGAUCGAAUUUAUUCAUUACAUUCUUAUAGGGUCGCGGAGUGUAACUGUAAAAAAUCAUCAAAAUCAGAGCUAAAAUAACCGUUAAAUUGUGAUUUUUCGUUUAUAACUGUCGAAAACUUUUGUUCCGUUUCGAAAUCUCUGGAUGUUUGUUUUUUACGAUUUUUUACAUAUGCUAUCUUGUAGUAUCUACAAACAAGUUUGACGGUUAGAUCAUGAAAACUAGUUUCGUAAAAUGCAUAAGUUUGCCAAAAUUUUGAAGUGGGAAAAGUAAUUUGUGCUAAAUUUUUAUUUAUGUUUUUCUAGUAUUGAUUAGACAAUAUUUAGUUUGUGUGAAGACAUUUUCAUUGUACAAUUCUCUUUUUGUUUUUUUAUCGCAUAUUUUACAUAGAUUAUUAUCUAUUAAACCAAAAAUGUAAAAAUUAUCUAUUAAACCAAACAAUUAUUUAUUUAAAUUUAAAAAACAUAUUAUAUUUAAAUACAUAUUAUUUAUUUAUUUAUUAAACCAAACAACUAUUGACACACUCCGAUCCUAGAAUCAAGGCGUGUUCUAAAUUUUGGGUCGCUUUUCUGGAAGCUCUGAUACCAAACUGACACACCCCGAUCCUAGAAUCAAGGCGUGUUGGCUACGUCACGCUCACGUGACGGCCAGUACGCCUUGAUUCUAGGAUCGGGGUGUGUCAACUAUUAUUUUAUUUUUUUAAAUCGUAACAAAAUUUGGGGGGGGGGGAUUUUGGGGGGAAUGUUGACGCCAUUUUUUUGCUAUCGGUUAAAACCGACAUUAAUGAGAAUUUUCUAUCGGGUUUUUAUUUUUAAAAAACAUUUCUGUCGAUUUUAACCGAUAGUAAUGAACAUUUCCACAUUAUAACCCCUUCAUCUCUUCCUUGCACCCGUGCUUCUCCCUUCCCCAUUUUCUCCUCUUCUCAUUUCCUUCUCCUUCUCUUCUCUCCUCUCCUCAUUUACUUCCACUUCGAACACUUGCAACCAAAGUUCAUUAGCUAUCUCGAAUAUGGCGAAGAAGAAGGUAACACUCUCGCUCUCGCUCUUUCUCUUUCUCUCCAUCUGUGUCUCUCUCUCUGUGUCUCUCAUAUGGCGAAUAAUUUUGUGUCGUUUGUUUCAGUGGGUUGCAAAGCUAUUCGUUUCCUUCUGUUCCCAACAAUAAAGAUGAGAUUUUUCAGCUGCUUUUGUAAAUUACACAGCUACCCAAGACUUGCCCAGUUUGCUAUUUUUGUAUUUUAUCAUGUUUUUGUGAUUUUUUAGUGGAUCUGUCACUCCCAAAUGAUUAUCCAAUGAUUGUAGCUACACCCAUUUUGUCCAUUUCUCCAAAUGGAUCUUGUAUGAUUUCACCUGAUUGUGUUAGAAAUCAUUAGUUUUUUGGUGAAAGAUUAUGUUGGAAAUUAGUGUGAUCAUUUUUACCUUGAGGGAGUUGACCAAAUGUGAAACUAGCUGUUGUGGUUAAAUAUUUGGUGAAUUUAGAUUGAACUUGAAGAUCAUGUAACUCAAGGCAGCACUUGGCCCUCUGUUUGGACGCAAUUUGAAGUACUGCACCGAUGGAUGCCUUCGGAGAUAUUUGGAAGCUCGGAGCUGGAAUCUUGAGAAGGCGAAGAAAAUGGUUGAAGAGACACUGAAGUGGAGGGCAACUUAUAAGCCUGAAGAACCCGUUAGGUAAGUUGGAUGAACUUUUAUGAUAUUCACAAACUAGAAAUAGAUAUAUUUGUAGGAUGUUUGUUUCUCUUGAUACGUUGGCAAUUCUGCUUGAGCAUAAACUAAUCAACGUUUGAGUUUUGUAUAUUUUGUUUUCAUCAAAUAUAUGGCAGAAUCAAAACUUAAUAUGGACUCAGAUGGUGUUCUCCAACCACAUUGCGUGUGAAUUGCGUUCGUUUAAUUCAUUUGCAUCAUCUGCAGCUUACUUCUAUGCAUUGCACAAGCUAUCGCCCGUCAUACUUCUUGCCUAGAACUUUAAGGGCCCUGAAGUUUUCGAGAUCGAGCUCCGGCGAGGUUUUGGAUGAUGAAUGCAGAAAUAUUUUUUUAUUAUUAAUAUAUUUUCUGUCGGUUUUAUGCGACAAGAAUGAUUUUAUUCGUUUUUAUAAUAAAUUAUCUGUCGGAUAUAACCGACAGAAAUACUGUCGGUUUUAGUAUUUUUUGUUGGUUUUAUCCGACAGAUAUUAUAAUAAAUAAAUAUAUAUCCUGUCGGUUUUAAAGUAUUUUUUGUCGGAAAAUUCAUUUUCUGACGCAGGCAAUUAUGUCGCUUAUUAUAUCCGUCACUGUAUCCAUUUUCUGUCGGAUUUUGCUUAAAAUCCAACAGUAAUAUAAAUUUUUUGUCGGUUUUUGAACCGCCAGUUAUAGUUAAUUUUGUAGUAGUGUGUUGAUGCACAAAACCGGAGGUCUUGAAACAACGUAAAUCUGACCGUGAAUCUGCUAGAAAGUAAAGAACACAAGAUAUCGUAGUUCACCCCAAUGUUUGGGCUACGUCCACACUGAUGUUGAUAUUGUUUCACUCUGAAUGGUGAAUAUACAAGAAGGCUAGAGGCAAUGUGCUCUCUGACCUAUUUUUUGUGUUUGCCCUAUCUGAGAUUCUUUCUCUCUUCCCAUGGCCUAAACCUUGACCUCUCCUAAUGAGGAGAGUGAGGAGUCCUUUUAUAGAAUAAGGACUCCCCACUUAUUACAUAUUUGCCCAUUCAUUUAUUACAUAAUUACAUUUGAGUCUCCCGAGUAUUUAUACGAGGUCUAAAUACGGAGGCCCUAAAUAUGGUACAAACAACUUUCAUUUUUGUUUUUUGUUUUUGUGUAAGGACCCUCUGACCGGGAGUCAUGUUCUUCACUUUGUUUUAAAUCUUAAAUCAUCUCCUUUCAUGAAUAAAAUGUCUCUCGUUAAUAAAAAAAUUAUGACAUUCAAACAAAUUGAAAAUUAAUACAGUUAAUUGUUGAAAGUAGUGGACUGCUCUGGUGUUAUUCUUUUGACCCCUUUAAUGAAGUUAUUUUCUAAGCAAAAAUAAAAAUAAAAUUAAAACCAACACGCAAUGUACUGCCACAUCGUCACUUGCACAAGCUUUCACUCAUAACAUGCUCAAUUCCCUUAUCUUUCUCUCCAUCUAUUUCGUAAUUUUUUGUUCUUUUUUUAUUUUCCUCCUUUCUCUCUACUCUCACCCCUAACCACUCUCUCUAUCCCGUCUCCUCUCACCCGUCCUCACUCACCUCUUCCUUUAUGUGUCAUGUCACUCGGUUUGUACUAGGGGUGGGUAUGGUUCCAAUCGGUUCGGUAUUUUGCUAAAAUAAAAACCAAACCGAAUUUUUUAUUCGGUUCCGGUCGGUUCAAAUUUUUUCGAUUUUUAUUCGAUUCGGUUUUUUCGGUUUUUUUCUGUCUGGUUUCAGUUCAGUUCUUUUUUUUUGUUUUUUGGGUCGUAAACAACUGAAAAUCAACCCAUUGUGUAGAGGUUUUAAUUUGAAAUGAAAAAUCAUGCUAGAGCUUAAAUGUUUUAGACUCAAACAAAUUUUUGAAGAUUUCUAACUGUGUUCUGGUGAUAAAAUUCGCUUUGGUUAAGGGGAAUAACUAACAAAGAAGAAUAAAAUUACGAGGUUCCUCAAUGAACGUAAAUAUUCAUCAUCAAUUGAAAGUGGCUACACCAAAAGAAAAUGGCCAAAGAAGAAUAUGUGUCAAGUUAAUUUCCCAUCACCAAAAUUUACGUUCAUUGAGGUUCCUACUAAACCGACCAAACUGCACCGACGGUUUCGUUUGUUUUUUUUUUUGUUUUUUUUUUCGGUAUGUAAACCAAACCUUCCCGUGUGCUUGCUUUUAUUUGUUUUAAUCAUAAUAGACAUACCAUGUACCCACCACAACAAAACAAACACUACAAAAAAUAUGGGCAUUGCACACAAUAAAUUAUUUGUGUCCAUUGAGCCAAAGAGCACCAACAUAUGUGCCCAUAAACCAAUAGCAAUAGUGCGGCAACUAUAAUAUUGUUUGUGCCCUCUAUAGGCAUGUCCUUUGGUAAUAAGGCACAAUAUUGCUUUUGUGCUCCCAAGAGAAAGCAUAAAUGACAACCUAUUUGUGUAUUAAUUAUGACAAGCAUGUCAAAUGAUCUACAAUCAUGCGCACAGUUUUCAAAUCAUGCCCGAUAGGGUCUAUUUAAAAAAUAAAUAAAAAUUUGAAACAAAACAAAAAAUUCUAAAUUUUCAUAAAAUCAACAAAUCCCACAAUAUACAUGUAUUUCAGUUAUUUACAACAAAUCCCACAUAUUUACAACCAAGCCCUCCUGCAUAAUCCUAUCCUCCCCUACUGCAGUCGUUGGACCCAAGUUCUUCAUGCAAUGUAACUUAACCACAUUCCCUUCUUGCCUAUAAGGAAUCUUAGUAAGAAGCCUAGAGUAAGAAAUAUUUAUAAGCAUUCAUUUCAUUAAGAUUAUCGCAUGCAAACCGUUCUCGUCUCCCAAGGAAUUAAGGACAUAAUGACAUUAGCAAUUAUUGAAAAACCAACCUAAUUUGUGCACUCAUAUAUAUUUCCUUUACCAUGAGCCAUUUGAUCAUUCUCCUCAUCAACAAAUAGAUCCCUAACAUUGUUAUCAGUUAUACCAACGAACUUGCCCAAAACUUCAGGGCCAUUAACAAUCUAGCACAGUUCACAAGAACAGAAAUCUCAUCAAUCACCAAUGCAAACAACUAACUUAUACAAGGAUAAGUUGCAUAUCAAAUAGCUUUGGAACCUUAAAAUAAUGUACUAGCAUCAAAAUUAUGUGUUAAAUCGGCAUGGUUCAAUGUUUACAGCUGGCAGAACUUAAUCGAUUCAUUACCUAAGCCUAUUGUGAAAAAUAAGAAUACAAGAUUGUGACAAUGAAAUACCUAGUUCUUAAUUUCAUCUCAGAUUCAUGUGUCAUCAAUUGGUUAAGUCUUAUUUGAAAUUAAGGCUGAAACAUAGAAAAGUAAUCAUUCAAACGAACACAACAAAUUCUUAGUCCUAAGAGAAUUGCAACUCUCAGAGAUUUGAUUAUUAAAGAAAAGGUGGAUCAAACUCCAAACCUUUAGUCCUUUCCCGUUCAACAUCUUUCUGAUUUGACACGCCAUAAGAGAAAACAAAAAGAGGCCAUAAUUCAAAUAACACACUAGUUUGAGAAAAAAAGAAAGCAUCAAAUGUUGCGUAAUGGAUAUGAUCCAAAGUCCAAACGCAUCCAAAUUCAUACGUGCAUAAUGUUCGUUCUUUUUCUUUCUUUUGAAAAUUAGACUCUGAAACUUCCCAAAAUAUUAACACUUUUAAUGAUUUCAUUAAUUGUGUUUAUUAAGCACUAUUAGUAUACUAAUACAAAACAUAGAAAACUAAAUAUCAUGAGUAAAACCUACUUAUAUUUCAUGUAAGGCUCCAAAUACCUUAUGUAGGACUUUUGUAUCUCAAGUAUAAACAUUAGCAAGCUGUAAGAACUUCACUCCAUUUAUCUCAUUCCAUAGAGUACCUAUAACUUUCAACAUCAUAGAUGCACAUUUGUACCUGAGAACUAUUCAGGGGAGCUUCCAUUGUGGGUCGAGUGCCCUAUACCUUUUUUUCAUAGUUCACCAACGAGUUAUCUAAAGAAUUUAACAGCCAAUAUAUAACUUUAUGAAUAAUGAGAAUCACAAAUUUGAUUAUGUAAUGAGCGGUAUAAAUGAUAAAUAUCACAUUAUCAUUCAAGACAAAAAAUAUGAGCCAUUUUUCAAUCUCUUUCUGAAAACUCAAAAGGACUCAAUUUCAGAACGGUUUUUUUUUUUUCCACCCAUAUGCACAUUUUGGGUUUCAUUACUCUCCUCGCAUCAAUUUAAAAGGUACAUAAUUUCCAGUUUCAUAUAUAAAUAAGAUAAUUAUCACAAAUGUUGUCAAUCUAAUCAAAUAAUAAAUGUAAAGACAAAUACCAAAGCAUCUGUAAACAUACGCAGAUAAAAAAAUCCAAUAACAAGACAUACCGCUAUAGGGAAUGCCACACUACAAGGAAAAUUUACGCACGGCCUUGACAUCAUCGGAACAAGCCCAAUGGUAGUGCACACAUUGUAACCUGCAAUUACCGCUUGAUUCACUUUAGAAAUUAAAUGCAGUCUUCCAAUGUAGAACAAUUUUCAAUCCAAAUUAAAUGAGAAACGCUUCACCCUCUCCUGCAGAGUUCCAUCAAUUAGACCCCAACAAAAUUAGCAUAUUUAUGUUUAUAUUACUGAAAAUAUGAUUUUAGCCCUUCCAACUCAAUUUUCUUCAUAUAAAACCCUACAUAACUUUUUUACUCAAAGAAAACCCAAUGACUAGGAUCCACAUAAGCAAAUUCAUUAAUUUCAUAUUAAUUCACACAUUUUACAUUUUUCACAUUCCUAAAAUACCCCUAUUACAUAUUUGAUGUAGACAAUUAAUUGUGAGGAGAGAGUAAAUGAUUUUGCAACAAGAAAAAAAAAGACAUUAAUGUUAAAAAUUUAUUGCAUAUUAAUUUUUUAGAAAGACUUUGAAUUUUCAUAAAACUAUUCGAUUCGGUUUUUUUCACCCUACUCUUGAAUACUUUUGAAUUUAUCCUUUUUUUAUUAAUAUAUUAGAACAUUGUAUUUCAUUAUCUACAUGCACAUUAAUUUACCUACAACAAUUAUACCAUGGGUGUAAUAUAAUAUCUCUUUUUUACAAUGAUGCAAAAUAAUGUUUAUACCAACAACAAAACGUGCCUAACAUAUGUACUAAUACAUGAAAAAUAAUUUACCUAUAUUAAGAAGAAAUGUAGUUCGAUGCAUAGUAUUAAAAAUACUAUGUUACACCCAUGUUUAUACAACAAUAAAAUGUGCCUAACAUAUCUAACAAUACAUGGAAAAUAAUUUACCUACAAGUUAGAUAAAUGUUAUUUGGUUGGGUGUAGUAUAAUUUUUUUAAUAAUUGGAAAAAUUAAAUAUAACUAGGUGCAGUGUAAUUUUUUAUAUAUAAUUAGAACAAAUUAAUUUACCUACCUACUAUUUGAAAUGUUCAUUUCUAAUGAUGCAAAAUGUCACAGCCCGUCCCAAAGUUUUACACUCGUGAUUGUAAAUUGACGGAAUUGCCCUUAAACGUGAUUAAGAUAUGUGAAUUAUAUAUUGGUGAAAUAUAUGUUCCUAAGUUAUUUGGAUAUGGAAUUUUGUGAUUUGGGGUUAGGUAGGACCACACACCUCAAAUCCCUCCCUAUUUCCCGUACCCUGUCUCUCUCUCUCCUCCCUCACAAUCUCUCAUUCUCUGUCUCUCUCCUUCGAACUCAAACGGACGAGACCCAAAGACCGUCGAAACUUCCACCAACGACGGAGUUAAGACCACCAUCAAACUCCUGGAACCUCCACGAUCAUGAUGGUAUCCAUUUCAAGUAAGUUUUGCUUCGGAAAACCCUAGUUUCAAAGUUCCCGUGAAAUGGUACUGUUCAUGAUCUUCUAAAUGACUACGUUUUAGGCUAAAACAAGAUCACAGCGAGCUUAGUGAGGUCCCAAGGAAGCUCGGAGUGCUUCGUUGGAAGUUUUUGGACGUAAGAACACGGAGAUCGACAAGUUCAAAGUUUGGCCGGAGCUUUCGAGGAAUUUUCCGGCGAAUCCCCGGUGAGUUAGGAGUCGAGGUAGGUAUCCAUCUCUUCGUCUCGUCAAGUACUACAACUUUCCUUUUUGUUUCACUCAAUUUCGUUGAGUAUUGAAGAAGUUAUACUCAUUUGAAAAAUACCCAGUUUCCGGCGACCUCCGAGGCUUUCGAGGCAGUUUCCGGCCAAACCACGGCGAACUAGGUGUUGUGCAAGGUACCAUUCUCUUUGUCUCUUCAAGGGCUACAACUUUCGUUUUUGAAUCACUUGAUUUCGUUGAGAAAUGACAAAGUUAUGGCAAUUUGAAAAACUGCCCAGAAACGGCCGCCGGAAAAACCAGUCCGGCGACCCAAGGAAGAAGAAGGUGCGCGUGGGGGCGCGUGGACCCGUGCCUUCCUUGGCGCGUGGGGGCGCGUGCUACAGUAAAAAUUAUUUUAAAAAUAUGGCGACGUCCGUGACGUCGAGUAGAUUGGGACUCCGAUUUGCGGAUCUUCCGAAAUUGGAGUUGUAAGUCCAUAAUAUAGAAUGUUAACCGUCACCUAGUUUUGUUAAUUGACGGAGAUCCGACCGUUGGAUGGUAAUGAAAUUUUAGGAGGUUAUCCUAGAGAUAUAUUGUGGACCUCUGGAAGUUAUGGAUUUAAAAUCCGAGUGGUGGAUCUUCCGGAUCGAUCUACGUAGUGACGUAUUUUAUAUAAGUUAUAUAUUCUAUCACUAUGAAUUCUGAGGUUGGAAUUGAUUAUUGUUUUAGGCGCCGAUCGUCAUGACGCCUUGGCGUAUUGUGCUAGGGAGUUGUAGGGCGAACUCCAGGUGAGUGGGCAGUUUUGUUUUCCGUAUAUAUAUAUACUUGACGUUUUCCCAGAAAUUGAAAUUUAAUGAAAGUAUGCUUUAAAUGCAAUGUAUAAAAUUAUAUGAAAAGUAUAUAGAAAUGUGAAUCGAAAUGCCAUGCAUGAAAUGAUAUGAAAAGUAUGAAUUGAGAUAUGAUGCAUAUGUAUGAAUUGGUGCUGUGGACGCACAGGUGAGUAUAAGGUGAGUAUAUUACUGCUAUGAUGAUGUUGAGAUAUAUUGAGCUCAUAACCUGCACCUUGGUAUUAGUGCUUAUUAUUAUUCACCGCAUCGCAUGCUCACCUUGGAUCCAAGUAGAUGCUAGUCGUACAGACCACCGGGGGUGGUUCCGACAUGCCAGUCGUAUAGACCAUUAGAGGGGUUCCGACUGGUAGGUGACCUUAGAUUAUGUGCACAGAUGAUUGAUGAGAGAAGCACUAGAGCAUAUUAUUCUACCAUUAAGUCGUACAGAUUACAUUAGGUAAUUCCGACUUAUGUGCAGUAUAGUGCCGUACAGGUCAUACUAGGUGACUCCGGCAUGGCCGUAUAGGUCACAGUUGGUAUCUCCGGCUAGAUGAUAUUUUGAGCUCUAGGUUCAACCGUACAGGGCCAUUAGAGGGCCUCCGGUUGAUUACUUUCUUGCACCUGAUAUGAUUAUUGUUGAUGCAUCCAUACUUAACUGUUGAAUUAGACAUGGCAUGGCAUGAUUGAUAAAGAAAAAUGUUGAGAUAGUAAAAAUGAAGUUUUGAGAAUAUAUAUGUAUAUUUAUAUUUUACAUUUCUGGGAAAGUAUACAAGUUUUACGGAGAGGGGUUACAACGUUUUGAGAAAUGUUUGGA
This 64158-nucleotide long non-coding RNA is filed under the name Malus domestica (apple). RNAcentral describes it as "long non-coding RNA (MDOM_LNC005303)". The record is from RNAcentral. Lineage: Eukaryota; Viridiplantae; Streptophyta; Magnoliopsida; Rosales; Rosaceae.